UACGGGGAGACCUAAAUCGUGACUCAAUUUACCCUUUUAUAGAGGGAAUACAAGCGUGCUAAGGCUUAGAAAAAGCCACACUCGUCUAUAUCCCAUAUUUAAGGGGACUCUCAAGCAAAUGAACCCUAUAACUAGCAUGAAAUGCAAAAAUCCUAAAAUGGAGGGAAAAGGGGGUCGAGGGGCAUGCAAAAUGAUAAAACUAAAAGAAUGCAUGACAUGUAAUGAACAUGCAAACAUGUACUAACGAGGGGAAAUCCCUAAGGGUCUAGCGUUGGACUAGCCCAUUCUAUGAAUUCCGACUAGCGUUGGACUAGUGGAAACGUACAUUCGUCCAUCACAUUCAUUCAUGACCAUGGAAAGCGAGUAGACAUGCCAAACACUUAUAAACACAUAGCACAUAACACUUAGCAUGCUCAACUAGAUGCAAGAACCUAAUUAAAGCAAGUAACACAUAACACAUAGGCAAUUAAAGCCCUAACUAUUACAUUUGCUAGCUAGGCACACGUCUUCGAUAGGUCUUCAUUGAAUGCUCCUCCAAGCCCUAUCUAUUACAAGCCAAGAGGUGUACACAUACCCCAUAAAGAAGAACUUAAAUAAAAGCAAAAGUAAAUGAAAUGAAAGAACUAAAGAAAGGCAAUGAAAGCAAAUAGUCAUGUAAUUUCCACGUAACACGUUGGAUCACAUAGAAGAGAUACAAAAAGGGAUAAAAGAAAAUAUACCGCCCCCUUUGAAUGGUGACCAAAUGAAAGAAAAAUGGCUUCAAAACAAUAAAAAGGUCAAGGUACCACUUUAAUUGAGAAAAAUUAAAAGAAAAUGGAAACAACCGUCAAAUUGAAUCACUCGAAGCAUUCCAAGGAAAGUAAACUACUCGUACUUAACCAAUUAAGACAAACAAAAACCCAAUUGGAAAAAAAUUAAAGAGGUCUAAAGGGCCAAUUUAUUACUAUUAUAAACACUAAGGAACUAAAAAAACAUAAAAUAAAAUUAAGAAUCUAAGGUGAAACUUACCAAAUCAAACUAGAAAAUUCACAAAAAGGUAAACGAGGAGCAAUUUACUAGUAGCUAAACAACCAAAUGCCAAAGAAUCCAAAAAAAAUCAAAUUAACUACAAGUCUAGGAAAAAGAAAUUAUUAGACCCUUCAAAUUCAUUCUACAAUCCCUUAAGUAUCUACCCAAAACAAAUCAAGAUGUAUUAAAGAGGAAAUGGCAUGUUAGGAGGACAAAAUUAAUUAAGUUUCCAAUUAAUUGGGCCAUGGAAGCAUUAGAUGGAAGCCAAGGGGUUGGAGUGCGAUUUUUGAAAGUCAUUUUCAUGCAAAAGCCAUGCAAUCACGUAGAAGAAACUUUCUCUGCAACAAAUUUCAUUUCCAGCCGUGGCUUCUUUCCAUUCUACCAUGCAAACACAAUCCAACAAACAAAAAAACUUGUAAGGAGAUCAAACAUUCUUCCCCCUCUUCGGAACGCAAAAAUCCAGAAAACAAGAAUAUUCAAAUGCUAAAACAAAAUCCAGCAACUUUGACUUGUUCUUCCUAUUUCAUGCUGCAAAAACUGAAAACUAGCAAGGUAGACAACUAAACCAGUUUUGGUGAAUUGCUGCAUUACCGAGUUGCUCAAAUGCACUCCUAGCACAAUUAAAAAUUCAGCCAAUCGAUCCAAGCUUCAACAUUAAAUCAAAGACAAGCGUAACUCAACAGGCCAACAACUCCAAAUACAAAUUCUGGCAGCCUCUCAUGCGAAGAAAAAUGAAAAAAAAAACUUUCUUAUAAUCUGCUGCAAAUUUGUAGCUUACUCUUUGUACAGACCAUCCAUGAGCUCAAAUCAAAACAUAAUGAGGCAAAUAUCGCAUGUUACCCACUAGUAUACCCCAAGACAUAAACCAUUUAACAUGCUCAAACAAGCAAAAUAUAGUUCGGUGACUGCUAAAAAAAACAAAGUGCAGCAGCAAUUUCCAGCCGCAAUCUUUCGCAUUUUUAUCAUGCAAACAAAUUCAUCAACCCAGAAAUUAUUGACCCAAUUUAAAACAUGGAAUUUUGGGUGCAAGAUUAAGAUGGCAAAUCUGGUUUUGAUCAUCAACAAAGGAAGGAAAUUCAUUAUCCAUCAAUAAUAAAAGAAGCAAAUCUGGCUUUGUGCACCUUCAGCCGCAGCUUUUCUUGCAUUUCAACAUACAAAUGUGUUCACCAUAUAUCAGAGUUUUAACUACCAAUCACCAACUAAACUUGUAACUUCAUUGUAGCAUUGAAACAAGAAAAUGGAGCUAAUCAUCAAAGGUAGAAAGAAAACUAAACAGCACAAGAAUGAAACAGAAAAAAACGCAGCAAGCUUUCUGCAAUUCGGCACUCUUUACAAAAUCCAGCUUUCAAACACAAUCAAAUCCAAACACAAGGCUUUAAACUAGGCAGCAAACCAUCAUCCAAACAAAUAGAAAAAAAAACUGAGCAAAAUCCAGUGCAAAUACAAAUAAAAUACGUUCAGCAAGUUGAAAAAUCUGGAACAUAUAAAACUGAUUUGGCAAGUUGAAAUGCAUUUUCCAGCAAGUACUUGGGCAUGAAUCCGAAUUUACCUCGGUUAAAUCAUUGUGUUAAGUACCCAAAACUAACAUGCAAGGCUACUUAAUGAAAUUACUAUCAUUUCUAGUUCAGAUCAAGUUCGGACAGCAACUAUAAACAUCCACAAAUCCAGAAAUUCUGUUCGCCAUCCUUGGAUGAACUUGCAUGUAGCCGUUCACUAUUUCAUUUUUUUUUAGCCGGACCAAUAAACUUCCUGCAAAGCUUAAUCAUCUAAUUUUAAUUAGUCAAACACCUAACCAAGUGAAAAUCAACCACUUUCCAGCAAAUUUCAUGCUAAAAUACCCAUGCAAUUUCCAAAACAACUUCAACGGCUAAACUGGAAAAAUUGUUUCAGCAAUCCAUCAACUUCCAUUAAAAUUUCCAGCCAUGCAACCGAAAUUCAGGCCACGUAGUUCACAUGCAACAUCAAAUAAGAAACUAUCUAUCAGGUUGAGUCCAAAAUUAAGCUCAGAUCAUCACAGCUAGCAAAUUAAAAACCGAAACUUCCAGCUCAAGCUCUCGGCAGCUUCACUUCCUUCUCAAACAGAUUUUUCUAUGAUUUAACCUAUCAUCUAACCACACAAUCCCACAUGCAUGCUUAUAGUCAGCUUCAUCAACCCAUAAACAACUCAUCUAAGUUCAGAAAUUACCUUAGCUUGAAGCCUAAAACACACGACUAGCAGCUGCAAAUCCUCCACUCUCGGCUGUCCAGAAUUGCAGUCCGAAACUCUCCCUCUCCCUGGCUCAAACUUGCGGCUGGAUUGGAGGAAGUUUGACUCUCGGUUCUCUCUCUCCCUCUCUCGGUUGGUCUUGAAGUGAGGCUGGAAGAUAAGCUAAGUCCUCACCUCUCUCUCUCUCGUCGUUAUUUCCAAAGAAGCUGAUCACUUCACAGCUCCCGGCAUAGGAACAAUUGAAAAAAUAAAAUGUUAUGGUGAGUGAUAAUGAUUGUAGUGAACUGGCAAUGAUAUAGCGUAGUGGGAUGUAUAUAUUGAGGUAUUGGGAGUGGAGUGGAGUGGAGUGGAGUCGGCAAUAACAAUGGAAGGUGCUAGGUUGAGAAGUGGAAAAUGGAGCCGGCAGAAAUAGAAUUGUGAUUUUUUGAUUUUUUUUUGAUUUAUUGAAUAGAAACUAAAUCUAAAUAAACUAGAAUCCACAAAGCACAAUUUUCCAUUUUUCAUCAAUUUCCUCUUUUCUUUUCUUUUCUUUUUUCACAAAUUUUACGUUAAAACUUAAAACUAAAACUAAAACUAAAACGUGAACAAAAUUAAUAUGACAAAUAAUUAGCAAAUAAAAGACAAAUAAAAAGGUAACAACUAAAAUGCAGACAAUCUAAAACAAAAUCAUGAAUUAGAUGCAACAUACAAAUUAUUUAAAAAUUUGGUGUCUACAUAGAUAUUUUGAAUUGUAUAUUUUAAACAUUUUGAGAAAUUUUUUGAGAUUAUUGUAAUUAAAGUUGUUAAAAAACUUAUAGAAGAAAAACUUAACAAAAAACUCCUUUAUCAAACAAGCCCUUAGUGUAGAAUUUGUAGAAAAACUCACUCCUUUGUCAUCUCUUUUCCCCCAAUAGCCACCAAUCCGUAGGGGUGAGCAAAUUCGGUACGUACCAAAUCCACCGAAUUCUAAUAUGGUAUGAAAUAGGUAGUGAGAUUAUGAAUUUGGUAAUAACUAAUUUCAUAUUCAAAUUCGGUAAAAUGAAAUAGGGUACCGCAUUACCGCAUUCGAAUACCAAAUUAGUUUAUAAAAUUAUAUAAUAUACAGAUACAGAUAAAUGCUAUUUAGUAUUAGUAUAUACUACUAAUAUAUUAUUAUAUUAUAUAGGUAAAUGCUAUUAAUAAUAGUUAGUAUGUGGUAUUAUCAUGCACUUAUAAUAAUAAUAAUAAUAUAUAAUAAUGUACAAUAUAUUAUUUUAGUAUUUGUUAAUUGUUAUAUGACUAUAAUAAUACAAAUAUAUAGUAAUACAUAACAAUAUAACAUAACUAUAAUACUUAUUAUUUUAUACACGAGUAACAUGACUAGAAUUAGAUAAUAAUUAAUACAUAUAUGUAUAAUACUAAAUAUUAAACAAUAAACAUAAUUAGUAAUUAGAAUUUAGAUAUUGGUAAUUUGAUACAUCAUUCAUGUUUGAAUUAUUGAAUAUUUGAAUAUUAACUUGUAACUUGCAAGUAUUAAUGUGCUCUAAAUUUACAUUACAUAUAUUAACAUAAAAAUUCAUAUUCUCUAUUCACCAAUCUUAAGGUUUUAAGUAUAGACAAGACAACUAAACAAUGUAAGUGAAUACAUAUGAAUUGCAAAUUAAUGUAGUAGUGUAUUGACUUUCACAAUAACAUAUGUAAGUAAAUAAGUUUUAUUUUGAUUUGAAAUAAAUUAUAAGUUUGUAACUAAUAUAACUUAUCACUAAUCAUUGUAAUUUGUAAGUUUGUAACUAAUAUUACUUAUUAUUAAUUAUUGUAAAUUAUAAAUUCAUAAAUUAUCACUAAUCAUUGUAUAAUCUAAGGUUUAUUCUAGUUUAAAUUAAUCACUUUUUAUGUGUUCUUUAAAUCAUAGACUAAGGAUUCUAGGUAUAAGUGAUCAAAUAAAUGUCAAUUAAAUUAAACCACAAAAUGAUUAGAACAUAAAUAAUGUGUUAAAUUAUGAAUAAAUUGGGGAUCAAAUCAGUAAUAAUUUUUUAAAAAAUCAGUUUUUUUUUAUAAAUGAAUUCGGUUAACCGAAUUCAUUACCAUUUUCGAAUUCGAAAUCAGUUGCGAAAUGAAUUCGGUUAUAGUCAAUUCGAAAUUGAAAGCCCUUUAAAUUUCUAUAAGUCAAAUAACCGAAUUCAUCGAAUUCAACUAACCAAAUUAUCGAAUUUGUACUGUUUGUUCACCCCUAUCCUAUCAAUCUGACCUGGUCCAUUCUUUUUCCCACCCAAUCUUUUAGCCAUUUAAACUCUAAAAACUUUUUCCCAAAAAUUCUCUCUUAGCUUCAGAUUUUUAGAAACCCGGCUCCCAUCCAAAAAACAAGAGACAAAACCGAAAGAAAAAUUUCACCCGGAUCAUUAGCCAUUUAAACUGUCAAAACAUUUUCCUAAAAAUUCUCUCUUAACUUCACAGAUUUUUAGAAACCGGAUCCCAUCCAAAAACCAAGCGAGAAAACCGAGAGAAAAAGAUAAGAAAACAUAAAAAAAAAGGAAAAGAAGAGCAAAAGACAGAGGGCGGAGGAAGUUGCCGCCAUCGCCGUCAUUGUCGCCGCAAACCCAACCACCACCACGACCGUGGAAUCUGCUUGAAGGCACUGUAAAAAUUCCUCAACUCUCUUUGCUUCUACCAUGUUGUUUUGUGAAAAUGCUACGUCAUGUGUCUUCUUGCUCUUAAAUUUCUGAAGUUGGUAUUUUUUGAGAUCUGAAUUUCUUGUGACUGGGGUUGGACUAAAUCUUAUUUUCCUGCCAAAAUACGGGCUGGAUUAGUUCCUGAUAUAUUAGAAUAUGUUGAACUUCUGUUAUGUCUAUAAUCUGUUUCUGGAAAUGCUUAAGUGAAAAUUUGAGCUAAAGGUAUGAAUUUCCUGAAUUUGGAGAGGAUGAUUCCACCAGUCCAAAGCUGGUCGGAGUUUGGGAUUUCACCGUCUGAGAUUUCGCCGGUGAGCAGACCUCACCAACCUACAGUAGUAGGAGUGUAAACGAGUGUAAUUUGCUUUCCUCAUUGGGCCAACAAUUAUAGUCAUUAAUUAUCGUUUUCUUUUCAUGCCCUGAAAUCGGGCACAACAUAACUGUACCUGCCCUUUGGUAUUCUCACUCGUUAUUGUUUCAGGAAAUCUUUAGUGGGUAGACCUUUGUUUUCCAAUUUUUUUUUUUCGUUUUACUUCGCCUGCUUGCUACAUAUAUGAUGCUUGUAUUGGUUGGGCUUCAGAUCUUGGAGUAAAAGUAUAGAGAUUUGAUUUAAUUGUCUUUGACUGCAAUUUCUGAUCUUGCUCCGUCGAAGUUAUUUUGUUAUUUUUGGUUGGUUAUUGAAUGAUUGAAGGCCUAUCUAUGAUCUAAGAGUGGUUGGAAGCUAAAUUUAUAUGCAAUCUGUAUGAAAACUUAUAGUAUUGAUUCUUGUAGCCGCCUGUACAAGUUCAUGUGGAAAUGGAGUUUCCUUCAUUAUUGAAUUAACUUCUUUAAAGCUCGCGUUUUGCUACAUUUUGGAUAUGAUCUGCAUCCCUUCUUUCCGCUUUUUAGUGCUACACUUCACUAUAUACUAAUGGUUAUUGUGUUUAGUUGAAUUUUAAUGCAAAUUAUUGAUGAAUUUUAUGAUUGUCAGUAUGGAUUUUUGGCAUUGAAAGUGAUAUAACAUGUUCUUAAUUUUGGCUACAAUCAGGGAGCUUUGAUGGAGGGAUUAAUUAGUGCACAAUUGAACCCAAUUCACACCUAUUCUACACAAGAAAGUUUUGUUUUUUCCCCCACAUUUUCUCUAAGGAUAAAGACAAUUGGUUUUGGUAAUAAAUUUAAGGCAAUGAGAAAUCUUAAAUCAUACACUUCAAUCAAUGCUUCGGUUCAGCCAUUGGAGGCCUCAAAAGAGGACCAAUUUAACAAAGCAUUGCCGUCAAAAGGUAAUUUUCAAGGUCUGAGAAAAACUUUAUUUCUUGUAUGUAAUGUAUAAAAUAUAAUGACAAAUUAGAAUUAAUACUAUGUACGAAUGAAGACAAGGAUGAGUUUUAAUUGGUGAUAUGUCUAAUUGAUGUAUCCUUUAAAUUUGUAAGAGGUCCUUGAGUUGUGGCGCAAUGCUGAUGCUGUAUGCUUUGACGUGGAUAGUACAGUAUGCCUAGAUGAGGGCAUUGAUGAACUUGCUGAGUUUUGCGGAGCUGGAAAGGCUGUUGCAGAAUGGACUGCUAGGUGAUAUGCCUUCGAUAGACAUUUUUUUAGAUGUGCAUAGAAUUGAGUUUUUGAUCUGAUUAUGUGCUAAUUACUAGGGCAAUGAGUGGUUCUAUUCCUUUUGAGGAUGCCUUGGCUGCAAGAUUGUCUCUGUUUAAUCCUUCAAUAGCACAAGUCCAAGAUUUCCUUGAAAAGAGACCUCCAAGGUAAGAAACUAUAUUCAGUAGCGAGAAGUUUAUGCUAGAAUUGCUUCAGUUCUUUUGACAGUUAAUGAGGCCUAUGUGCAUCAUCUACUAUCUUUAACAAUUCAAUGUAAGUUCCAAAUGCUUUGGACAUCAUCACGUGUAGAGAAGUGAAAUACAGACAUAAACCUCCAAAAAAAGACACUGUGCUUGUUUUAUCUCUCAAUCUUGUGCACAGUCAAUCAGUUUUCAUCAUUACUACAGUGCAAUUUUGUAAACUAAAAUGGUGAAGUUUAGUUGUGAAUGACUUGACUACAACCAUGUAAAGUUGCAUCUUGUAGUUGUUUCAAUUUGGAUUACGAUUAUGAGUUACACAUCUUUGGCAUGCAAAAUUUGCAUUUUAACAAGAUCUAGUAUUAGGAUGUGCAUAUCAGACCUUUCAGAAUGCCUGCCAUCUUGAAGGUGUGCUCUUCUGAUUGCACACAAAACCCUGAUUCAAGUGAAAUAAUUAAGAAACAAUUAGGUUUAUGCAACUACUCUAUUUGGACAAUGUCUUGUCUUUUGAGUGUUUGCAUCUGCCGUUGUUUUGUAUAUAAUAUGCAGUAUGUAUUGUUAUAUAGCAUGGAACUUUACACGAAACUAAACCAUUUAGUGUUUUUCAAGCCAUAGCUGAUCUGUAUUUUCCAAGUAAUGAAAAUGUCUGGGUUAAUUGAUUUACUUGGUUUGCAGAAUUUCUCGUGGGAUUGAUGAGUUAGUCAAGAAGAUGAAGGCUAGAAACACUGAUGUUUAUCUGAUCUCUGGAGGAUUUCGCCAAAUGAUCAAUGUAUAUGCUUCUCUAUGAGUGGCUUUUGAUAUAUCUUUUCUUCUUCAUAUCCAGAUAACAAUUGAGGCUGGGAGUCCUUGGAUCAAUUUUCCAUUGUGUCUAGAUGCCCAUUAGCAUACUAUAGUCAUUAUUGAUGUUGAUUAAAUAUUCUCUGAAUUGAUGGUUCAAAUAUUGGCUAAAAAAUUGAGGUUCAGUAACCUGAUUUUUAUGCUACACUGCUUCCAAGUUGAUACUUUUCCUGCAUCAAUAUUACCUGUUUUAACAGUUCCUUGCUUUGAAUCCCUAAAAGAAUCACACAUGUUUCAUAUGGAAGCAUACUUUGUGCUUGAAACUGUGUCAAAGUUCUAACUGCUACAGUUUAACAGCCUGUUGCAUCAAUUCUUGGUAUUCCCGUUGACCACAUUUUUGCCAAUCAACUUCUUUUCGGAAGUGCUGGAGAGUUUUUGGGGUUUGAUACAGAUGAGCCAACGUCUAGGAGUGGAGGAAAAGCUAUUGCUGUUCAGCAGAUAAGGAAGGUAAGUUGAACUCUUAGUAGUUGUUUGUUGUGUAUUGGUUUUUAGAAUAUUGACCAAAUACUUGAUAAUGUUAUCAGGCUAAUGGAUAUAAAUCGCUGGUCAUGAUUGGAGAUGGUGCAACUGAUCUUGAGGUAAAAAAGUGUUCAUCUUGUCUAGUUUGGUGACCACUUCAUCUACGGAAUACAACCAACCCAAGGAAAAAAAAAUCAAGAAGUAAAUCCCAACGAGAGCUUUUUCUACUACAUGUUAACUUGAGUUUAACAGGGUCCAAUAUCUAGAAUCUAAUAACUGACUUUAUCUAAAGUCUGCAUACAGCAAUAGCUGGACAUAAAGAUUUAGACCUCAAACUUGGUAAAUCCAUGGAGGAAUUGAUUCCAUACAUUGACUUUAAUUGCUUCAAAGUAGACUAUAGUGGCUAUCUAAAAACCUGUUCAAGCUUCAUACACUAUUAAUAUCAUUCUAAGUUUUGGCCCAAAAAUGCAUCUAAAUUGAAUAAAUGAAGAGCUUUUACUCUCAUGUUGCUCGCAGAAUUUAUACUCUUUCUACUUGUAGGCUCGCAAACCAGGAGGUGCCGACUUAUUUAUAUGCUAUGCUGGGGUUCAGCUCCGAGAAACUGUUGCAGCUAAAGCUGAUUGGCUGGUGUUCAAUUUUAAGGACUUGAUUGAUAGCUUGGAGUAGCAUGCACCCAUUUUUCUUGAUUGAUACCUUUUUUCUGUUUCCUUUUGGGUGGUGGUUCUCUUUCUUUACCUUUACUAUUAUUGAUUUUUUGGGGGUACUAGAGUUCUAUGGGUUAUAACUACCAUGCUUCCAAAAAUCUUCUGCAUCAGUAUAUGUAUUCUUUGACAAACAUUUUAUGUAUGUAAUUUGUGAAAAUGACAGUCCUCAGGCACUUGCCCUCAAUAAGCAACUUGAAAGCCUUGUUGAUGUCAUCAAGUUUGACCUCAUGAGUGACAAACAAAUCCAGCUGAAGUUCACGGAUGUGUGUUCAAAGAUUUAAGCAAAAUCUGGGAGAGAUUCAUGUCUUUGAUGUUUGUCAUUUUGGAACAGGUGAAAAACAACAAUGUGGUAAAAGCCUUGCAAAUCUACAGUACAUUAUCCAGGUAACGUUUUGCAAGCAUUGGGAAUCAAGAUUUGGCUUGAGACCACCCUAUUGGACUCCUGUGACGGUUUUCCUGCUAUGAGCGCUCACCAGGUAAUUGAGGAUCAGCUGCGAAUCUGGCUUCACUCUUAAUACAACCGUCUUGCCCAUUCCUGAUGAUAGAUUGUACAUAGAAUCUCAUUUAGUAGCAGCUAACAGCAAUGAAAUAACUGAAAAACUCGAACUAGCUUAGUACUGGUAGUCAAAUCACAAAUGUUUAAACCAUGAAAGCAUACUCUUUAAUCACAAAAGAUAGAGUGGACCUAUGUUAGCUGAUUAAGAAUACUGUUAUAGUACUUAAAUCAUCAAAUCAUUAUAUCACCAUAUUCUCUCCUCCAUUAAUUCUAAUACAAAUCUUCCAAGUGUUACUUUGGCUGAUAGAUCAAGUACUUUGAUUGUGGUUUUUGGUGUAACUAUUCCUACAACCUCUAUUUCUGUAUACUCAGUCUUACACUUGUCUAAUUUUUCUUUUAAUCAACUCUCAGUCAAUAAAAUUACAAGAGCUCUUAAGUGCUUUGUCUUAUCCUUCUCUGAAUAUUGUAUUUAUUAGGAUCGGAAAAUUUUGGUAGAGGAUGUGAGUUUGGUAGCCUUUAUAGACUUGAAACUUUGAAAAUGUCAAAACCUGUUACAUGUUUGUUCAUCAUGACACCUCUUGAAGUUUACUGUCAUUUGGGUGAUCUAUCUCUACCAACUUUGAAGAAAUUGUUUUCAAAUUUUCAAGAUUUAUAUAGUGAGAUACGUCAAUUUGUGAAGUAUCUCUGUUUGCCUUAUUUGCCUAGGUCAAUAAAUAGGUUGCAUACCCUUUUGAAUUAGUGAACUCUAAUAUUUGGGAUUAUUGUCCAAUAGCAUCUAAGUCUAGUUUUAAAUAUUGUGUCACUUUAAUUGAUGAUUACUCUCGUAUUACUUGAUUAUAUUUAAUGAAAAUUCAUUUAGAUUUAUCCAAUGUUUGUUGUUCCAUACUGAAAUAAGAACACAAUGUAAUAUGUCUAUGCGCAUUUAGCAAGUUGAUAAUAAAAGAAUACUUUUAUAAGCUUUUUAAUCUAUAUAAGUAAGAAAAUGGAAUUCUAAACCAAUAUUCAUGUCUUGAUAUAACACCAUAAAAUGCUGUUAUUAAAAAUAAAUAGGCACUUACUAAAAAUUGCUAGAGCCAAGUUAUUUCACAUUUUCACCUAAACGUUCCUAACUAGAUUUGGGCAGAUGCUACUUGACCAACUUGCUUUUUAAUUGAUUUCAUGAAUCUGUACUUGCUAGUGAGAUAUCGUAUUCAGUUUUGCUUCCACCUAAACGUUCCUAUAUAGAUUUCGGCAGAUCUUAUUUCACCAACUUACUUUUUAAUUAAUUUCACGAAUCUGUACUUGUUAUUGAGAUAUCGUAUUCAGUUUUGCUUUCGAACCUAAUCUUUAUUCCAUUCUGAGUCGUGUAUAUUUUGAUGUCUUUGUUUUGUUCAUGACAUCCAUUCCAAGCGUCUAAAUUAAGUGAAUGUACUACUUGUUUUGUUCAUGACAUCCGUCCCCAAGCGUCUCAAUUAAAUCCAAGUUCCCUAGUACUCUUAUACUAGUGUGAAUAACCAUGCUACGCAUGGUGCUAAUUAGGGGUGCAAACAAAUCAAGACAAAUUGAGUUUUGAUCCAAUUGGGUCGAAUCUCAACCUAGGUUUAUGAACCUCAAAUUCGAGUUCGACCUUGACAAACUCAAAAUAUAAAACUCGAGCUCGAACUCAACUCAAAUUGAGUUUGAACUUGAGCUUAAAAAAUAAAAAGAUAAUUAUUUUAUUUAAAAAAAAUAAUAAAUAAUAAUUUUUCUUAACAAAUAAUAAAAUAUUAGGGAUAUAUAUGUAAUUUUACUAUUAAAAUAAUAUAUAUAUAUAUAUAUAUAUAUAAUUGAACUCGAGUUGGUUUGCUAGUUAACGAAUUUAGUAUUUUUGAAUUCGAGUUUGAAUUUGACUUGGUUAGUUCGAGCUCGAACUUGAACCACUCGCGAUUGAUUUGAUUCGUUUGCACCUCUAAUGCUGACAUUAUUGAAAGAAAUAAAAAGAGAGGUUGGAUUAAAAAAAGUACAAUUAAUCAAAAUCUAAGAUUUGUCUAGCAUUAGUUUAAAGUAUGAUAAAAUGUGUAUAUCAUUCAAGAACUAUGUUUUUGCAAAAGAUGAAUCCUGAAAUAAUAAUAAAAAUUUAUAUUAGAAAAUGAAUGACAUAUGGAAAUGAAUGUAAUCACAUGUUUUAUUGAUAUCAAAAUGAAAUACUUAUAAACAUUAUGCAUUCGAUUUGAUAAUCUUGUAUGAAAGUGUAAACAAAUUUCACACCAAUUAACUUUUAGCUCGAAGGGUAAUAUUGGUGGUUUAAUUGACACUAUUGAAUUUUUGUGGAGUUCAUACUACAAAAGAAUGUUCAGCGAGACUUGUUUUUCUUGGAAGUGAACUUGCUACACAUUUUGAAGUAUUUCAGUGGGGUCACUAUGGUGUAUACUUCGUUUUGUAAUUAGUUGUUUUCUCCUUUGUAAUAUUGCAAGUUUGGAAUUGAGACGUCAUUGAAAUGCUUGUAGAUGGACUUCGUCAAUGGUGAAAGUAAAACACGUAGUCUUGUUUUUUUCUUUUUCUUCUCACUGUAUUUAGUUUGUGUAGAUGACAAAUAAAAAUGGAUUAGUGGUCGUCAGUCUUGUGAAUAAUUAUGAGAAUAAAUUACGUUAUGACAUUAAGAUGCGUAAAAUUAUGAAAAUUAUAGGGAUUGUAAUUCAAAUGGGCUCCUAAAUUUUGGAUAUAUAAUUUUCAUAGUGGUGAGGUUUUUAAAUUAUCAGUUAGUUAUUAUUAUUAGUCGUGUGUGUAGUGUUAGACGGGAUUUGGAAUUUGAAGAUGUGAUUUUGCAGGGUGAUUAUUAUCCGUUAGUUUGCAUAGGUGAUUAUUAUUCUUUACUUAAAAUUUUGGACUUUUGAUUUUGUGGGUUAGUGGGUCAUUAGUUAAUUAAAAUUUUGGAAUUUUGAUUUUGUAGAUUAAUGGAUCAUGUGAAUUGGAAAGUGGAAAGUGAUAAGGAGACGCAAUAAGGAUUAUUGAAUCAAAAUAAAUCUAAAAUUAUAGUAAAAAGGAAAUUCAAAUUGAAAUUAAAAUUUUUGACGCUUAUGAAGGAUCCUCGUAAAAAACCUGCUUUCUAAUACAUAUAAACUAGUGUGAUUAUCCAUACUAUGCAUGGUGCUGGCAUUAUUGAAAGAAAUUAAAAGAGAUGAUGAAUUAAAAAAAAGUAAAAAAAAUGCUAUCAACAUAAUCAAAAUCUAAGAUUUGUAUAACAAUAGUUCAAAAUAUGAUAAAAUGUGUACAUCAUUUAAGAAUUGCGUUUUGUGGAAGAUAGAUCUUGAAAUAAUAAUAGAAAUUUAUAUUAGAAAUUGAAUGAUAUGGAUAGAAAUGAAUGUAAUUUCAUGUUUUAUUUGAUUUCAAAAUAAAAUAUUUAUAAACAUUAUGCAUUCGAUUUGAUAAUUUUAUACGAAGGUGCGAAUUUUUUUCACACCAAUCAACCUUUAGUAUAAAAUUUAAUAUUGGUGGUUUAAUUGACACUAUUGAAUUUUUGUGGAGUUCAUAUCACAAAAGAAUGUUCAAUGAGAUUUGUCUUUCUUGAAAGUGAACUUGUUGAACCUAAUUUUGAAAUAUUUCAGUAAGAUUAUUACAAUAAAAGGUUUCGUUUUGUGAUUAGUUGUUUUCUCCUUUGCUUUGCAAAUUUGAAAUUGAGACAUAGUUAAAAUACUUGUAGGAUGAUACACAGUCUUUUUUUUUUCUUUCACUAUAUUUGGUUUGUGUAGAUGACAAAUAAAAAUGAAUUAAUAUUGAUAGUUUAAUUGACUGUUGAAUUUUAUAGAAUUCAUACUACAAAAGAAUGUUCGGUGACAUUUGUUUUUCUAUGCGUGUGAAGGCUCCUUGUAAGAAAUCUGCCUUCAAAUGUAUAUGUAUAAAUAUAGAUAAAGACUGUAGGGUUAGUCGCGCACACUCCGCUUGCUAGUGCUAGACGGAUUUGGGGCAGGGAUGGUCAUCAGGUCGACCGUCCCUGAGCAGUCCUCUCACAAAAGAAAAUGAGAGGAUUGCAAUGGACCACGUAUAUUGGGAGCAGCAGCAAAGGAAAACGACAUAGUUUCACUAAGUGGGCAGAAUAAAAAAAGUUAAAAAUGUAUUGAAACUCUAACGGUGUCCAUUUGGGGCAAAUGGACUGAUUCAAAAUUCAAAUAUCAAAUGCAAAAUUUUGAAUCAACCACAUAAAAUGAAAAGAAAAAAGUUGGGAAAGCAUGGAUUCAUUCUUUGUACACCAAAAUAAGUCUUGCUAUCUCUACGGAUAUUUGCCAAAAAUAAUUGAGAGAUAAAAUGCAAACAUUGAAGUGGGAGGAGAAAUUUAGGGCACGUUUAUGUGAAGAAAAAAGGAGGCCAAAUCUAUUGAGAGGAAGCCAAGCUCGUGAGGCAUUUUGAGUGAAGAUGGAAGGACCAAUUUAUCUUUGUAGACAUCUUUGGAAGGGAAUGCAACAAUUGAAUGAGGUUAAAAAUUGUUAGGACAAUUUCUCUACAUUCUUUCCAGGGCAGGCAGCAAAGUAGAAGGGAAUAGAGGAAAUACAUUUACAGCAGUCUCCAGUUUUGUUGAACAACUGAGUAACAGCAAUUGUGCCAUCCAACGUUGGUGAAACAUAAUGCCCCAAUUCGACGAAGGUAAUGUCACUGAACUAUUUCCUGAACUAUAUCUAAUGAUUUGUCACCUAAGGUAUAUAGAUAUAGUAAGAGCCAACUUGGGGGAGGUAUAUACAAGGAACUUAUGCAUGCCAAGUGUUUGUAAAUUUGACUUAAUAGACGAAUUAAAUGAUUUGGAAAGUUUAUCAGCAUAUAAAAUAACAAGAAGAGUAUGAAGGUAAUCAUUACUUGCUUUUUUCAUUCUUGUUGUAGGAUAGCAGUGAUACCAUACAGUUUAGAAUGUAUUACUGGCUGUGGAUGGGCGUUCACAUCAUAGUAAACAAACACAUACAAAGAUAAAAUAUAAGUAAAGUGAGUCAUUGUAAAUUACACGAAUGAAAUAAGGAGUACAACAAAAUUCUACCAGGAUUACAAGGUAUUUGAGUGAUUGUGGUUAGUUAUACUUUUUGAUAGCAAUUUUUUUUUUUUGAGAUAAAUUACUGAUAGUUGAGAAAUACUUUCAUGUAUCUCUAAAGAAGGAUUCUUCUAAAAUUAUGAGAUAUUUGAGUGAUUAUGGCUAACUAUACUUCUUGAUAUCAAAUAUAUUUUAAGAUAAACUGCUGAUAGUUGAGGAUGCAGGACCUGGACGGUUGCCAGUAACAACUGUUUGGAAUGAUGUAAUAUUUUUUGGACAAUGCGUAACUUUAUAUGAACUACUUGUAAAAUUUAACAACAGAGAUGAAUUAUUACAUAUGAGAUCCACAUGAACAGUAACACAAUAUCACACCUCUGUUGUAAGAAUGUACAAGAAAUUUACAUAGAAUUACAAAAUAUUCAAAAGAAGUUACAUUGUUCAAGAACGGUUGAACUGGCAACCGUCCUUGCCCCGUGUCCGAUAGUUAAUAAAUACUCUCAUGAAUCUUUAAUUAAGUGGGUUUUAAUAUGGUUUGACAUCUAUAUACGUAGAGAAUCGUAUUUGAGUGGAAAAUAAUAAAAAAAAGGAAUAGUGGGUUGUAUGCGAUAAAAAUUUCAAGUCUGCAAAACGACAAGGAAAAGAAAUACACGACAAAUAUGUAAUAUAUAAAUUUAGAAAAAUGUGUGGGUACAAUCUCUGGAAGUUUCUCGAACUUAUGGAGAGUUUCCUUCGAUUCUUCUCCUCGAACACCAAUCCAAGGGCUUCGCAGCUUGUUCUCGGAUCAACCACCGAUUCUUUCAAAUCUUGAUAUGGAAGAUUUGAAGAACUUGAGAAUAUUUGAAGGCUCAAGUCUUGAUAUGCGGAAGACUUGAGGAGCUUUGAGACCCAGACCUUCGUAGCUUGGAGCUUCAAUACUUGAGUGUAUGAGAUGCCUCUUGAUAUCUCUGUGUCUCUAUCUGUGUUUUUGAUUUGGUUGAGAGACCUCUAUUUAUAGCUGUAACAAGGGGUAGAGGUUGAAGACCUGUGUACCACUUUACUUGCAAGACGUGCAAUCAUAUUAGGACUGUGCCAGUUAAAUAUUAUCUCUUCAUUUUAUAUUUAUCAAUAAAGAGAUAGAUAAUUUCUCGAUUGGCCAAGCCUGUGGGGACAAGUGACGUGGCGCCGUCUGAUUGGACAGACCAUUGCAGUCUAUAAGAGAUAUAUAUGGAUCAAACGACUCUAAAUAUUAUCUCUUUAAUAAGAAAUAAAUAUUUAAAUGUCUAUACAGUAGACAUAUGAUAUGAUAUGAUUUGGUUGGUGGAGAUAUCCCUACAAUUUGAAUAACUUUAGAACACCUCACCUUGACACGUGGAAAAAUAUAAUUGGCCAUUUAAUAACCAAUUUUUCCAAGUGUACAUGCCAUAUGGCAAUAUCCGAUUGGACAAAAAUAUUUUAUAGACCAAUGAUAAUUUUUUUAAAAUUUCAUCGUCUACAAAUGCCCCCUCAAAACUUGUUUGCGAAAGGUACAACUUGAACGGACAAGUUUUGACUUUCUUUAAUUCCCCUAAGUUCCUUUCUUGCCAAAUUGGAAUUCGACACUUUGUGAAUCAAGUCACCUAAGUAGGAAGCCAGCCGCAUAAGUGAUUAAUCAAUGACCAAAUAGGCACAAAGACUUUCAAUGACCAAAUAGGCACAGAAGUGAUUAAUCAAACUUCAUAGUAUUCAAUCUCGUGAGUGAUUGAUCAAGCACUAGUGCACUAGUGUACCUUACAUGUAAGACACCUUUUCAUUGGCCUAAGGAGUUUCCAACUCCAAUUAUAAGACAAGCGCAUUGUUCCUUGAUCAAUCAUGAAUUCCACCGCUUCACAUGGCUCAAGGUCCGAACCAGUCAGCUUCUUGUCGGAAUCCUAGGAUUUGUAUCCUUGAUGAACUUAAACAUUUGAGUUCCCUUUUUUCCCUUCCCUUUUUUUUUGUGAUAAAGCCGAAGCUUGAAGAGUAAAACUUGGAUGAACAAGUUUCGAUUUCACAAUUAAUUUGUUUAAGUGAAAUACGUUGAUAUUCUCCCUUCAUUUGCCACUUAAGGAAACCGGUCCCUAAAAAAAAAAAAUAAUAAAAUUGAUGGCCAUCAACUUCAAUUAUGACCAUUUGUCCUCAAGAAAGCCCAAUACAUGCAUUUGUGGAAUAUUGCAUAUUGCUUGCUUAACCAUUCACGUGCAAGGCAUUUCAAAAAUGAAAUCAUAGGAAUCAAUUGGUCUUCCAUGCAUUCUGCUUACCAAUCACACACGGAAAUCAUUGGAAUCCAAUUGAUCAUAGAAAUCAUAGGAACCCAGGGAACUCCACCGCUUCCAAACUUCAAGACCACUUAUCCCUGUCGGCCUCGGGAACUUGAGCGGCAAAUCAUAAGAAAAUUCCUCUAAUAUGACUAGGACUCUUGAAUCAACAACUUCCGUUCCUUGUUAGACUCAAAGUCCAAACGAUCUAGAAGUCCGAAUACCAACUGCAAUGGAGCCUAUCACCGGCGCGGAGCCAAUCUCCUCAAAACUCAAAAGACUUCGCGAGGAUUUGUUUUUCUUCGACCACAAGACUUUCAACUGAUAUAGAGGCCUAAUUCUAUUCAAACUAAAGCUACGGUCCUGCUUAUUUUUCCUAGGCUUUAGGAUCCCUUCUUCACUAUAUAUAGCUAAGUCCGGCCGCCAGUUCCUUAAUAACAGAGAAGCUGAACAAGUUUUAUUCUUUGCUUCAUCGGAUUAUCGUCAGUGUGGCUGUUGCUAUUACUGCAGUUGCUUGUUUGUUCUUCAUAACACGACUGCCGCUGCUUAGUACCAACCAUUGUUGCUACUACCAAAUUGGCGCCUACCCACCAUUGUAUUCUGACGACACCGCCUUCUGUCUACCAGGUACCCAAAGCCCUGCUUCUCGUACUUUAUUGUUUGAAAGAAACUUUAGCAACGGCUCUUGCAUGCUUAUUUUGAUUCACCCUUGGUGACUCAAAGGUGAUUGGUACUUGAAAUUUGCAUCUUAUGCAUGUUACGUGCUGAACUAGUAGGAUAACAUAGCCCUCUAGCUAUCUUGCAGCCCGGUUCCAAUUUAUUUCAAGUCCAAUAUUUAGCAUCCUAUUUGAUCUGCUCGUUUCUCCAUUGCUCAUUGAGAAUUUGGUUCCAACGUUGUGCACUUGUUCCUUCAUGUAGUCUUCUUGAUAAACACCUUUGCCGAGGCACUAGCUGAACAUGUAUCCUCCUCUUUAUUGACUUUGCACGGAGUUUCCCACCGCAAGAAUUGAUUAUAUUAUGGCCGCCAUGUCUUGAACUUGUGGGCAACGCACUGUUGUUGAACCACGAGUAUCUCUACCACCUUGCAUUGGAAUCCUGGCGCUCUAUAAUUGUCUAAUAGAUCAAAGUGAUUUUUUUUUUUUUUUAGAGUCUCACCCUAAAAUUGAAUAACACGUUAGCCACCGUAAUUGCAUACACGAUUCCUUACAAUUAUGACUCCACUGAUUCAUGUUAUCGCUCUUCUUGAUAUCCGAAGUCGUACGGCUAUCUUGCCACAAUUUUAACAUUUUUAUUGAUCAUUUAUCGGCGUACCAUCUUGCCUUUAUUGUCGGCUUUGCUGUCCUUUGACCAAUAGAGACAAUUGGAAGCUGGUUAUCACCUUUGCCGCACCGCAAGCAUCAAUCAUCAUCCAUCGAUUGCACUCCAAUAAUUUUCUUUUCGCUCAACAGGUACUUGAAGCCCCCCCUCUUUUUACUCACAAUAUUUAACUGUUACGAAAAGUUUCGGUCAAUUGAAAAACUUAGAGCCUCACGUCCUUACCAAAUAAAUUCUCGAAAUAUUACUUGAGAAUGAAGCUUGGGUCUCGACUGGAAGAUUGAAAUUAACCAAAUGAUGAUCGGCUCAAAAUAUUAUUUUAGGUGCCUUUUGAAUAUUAUUCGAAAUCAUGCAUGCCCUUUAAAUAUUAUUUGAGAAUGAAGAUUGACUCAAAAUAUUAUUUGAGCUAUCCCUUAGGGCUGGAAAUUUUAUCUCAACUUCCACACCACUUAUUAUUUUUUUUUUUGCAUCCCAAAUAUUUCUAUCAUACAUGAUUUUGAUCUUAGCUUUAUUGACUUGCUUCUUUGUAGAGAACUAAAACCGUGCUUGAAGAACAGGUUUAAGCAAUUUUGGGGACUUGAGAAAAGGCAAGGAAAUUCCAAUUACCAAAAAUUUGUAGGAAUUUCCCCUCAUCCUCUAAUAUUUGGUAAAAUUUCAGCAAGCAUGCAAAUUAAGGAUUACGCCGUGCCACUGCCGCAUAUUUCACUGACGGAUGAACGGGGAGGAACUCAAUCCAAGAGCUUGUCGCUACAUGUUUACAAACCAGCAAUUGGCCCACUCGCUGAAUCCUUCAUACCCCUCGAAGGAUGCUUUCAUCUCGAAGAUUGGACUAGCAAGUGGACUAAAGAAGUGGUGGCACCGUCGACUUUCUCCACUACGCCGAGGGAAGAAGAAGUGGUCGUAUUAAACUCGUCACUUCACAAUGGAGAUCCAGAAAUGGCCAAAUUCACGCUUCCGUUUGUGGGUUUCAAUGUUAACAAAGCUACAUGGAAAACCCCUUCGUCCUUCUUCGGUGAGGCGUGCUUCACCUCCCAUUAUUGGGAGUGGGUUGAGGACAUGCUUGGAAGGUAUAAAGACGUACUCACACGUGCUGACAUAUUUGAAGCCGUCUACGCGUCGAGAUACUCCUACGACCGCUGUGAAAAUAUCUUGCGAGCCUUCUUCAAAUAUUGGUGUCUCUCGACGAACACACUCCAUACGCCCGUUGGGGAGUUGUCCAUCACACUUUGGGACCUUUAUCGACUUGGUGGCCUUUCGAUCGAUGGCACGUUUUUCGAUGAAGUUGUUCCUUCGGCGCGGGAGCUCCUUACUCGUGACAAAGAAGGGAAGCCACUUCUCCCCAAGAGUUGCAGGCACCUCUUUUCCGCCUACUACCAUCUUUGGACGAAUGACCAAGGGGUAUGGAUGAAGGACUGGAUUCGCUUCUGGUUCAAAGGAGAGGCUAGGUAUAUGGCUCCUCCGAGUAGAGCGAAUAGAAGGAAGACCACAUCUAAACCAAAAAUGACUUACAACCCUUCUGGAAGCGUGGAGCCUUACGACCUUGCCGAUACGAAUGACUUCAAUGUCCCUUUUGACACCCUGGGUAUCCCAGGGUUUCUAAGAAAGGAAACCUAUAUUGCGGCAUUCAUAACGUGUUGGAUUUGCAAGUUCCUUUUGCCAAGCAAAAAGGUCGACCGUAUUCGCCCAAGUGUCUUCAAGGUUGCAUGCUUAAUGGCUACAGGGAAAAGAUUUUGUCUUGCAAUUUCCGUCCUUGCGAGCAUAUAUCAUGGGUUGAGGGAGAUCGUCCACGCCCCUAACCUUGGAGAAUGUGGGGUAACUUUUCCAAUCCAUUACGUCUAUGCUUGGAUUGGCCAAUACUUCGAUGUAUAUUACGAAAAUCAUCAAGUGAGUAGCCACCACGCGCGCAUGACAAGAUUUAGUGGUGAGAAAAUGACAAUAUUUUAUGGCCAAUUGGAAGCUGAGGAAAUUUUCAAAGAAACGAAUCCUUUGAUGCUUCCUAAAUUGUACUGGACUGAGAAUGAAGAAAAGGCGUUGAUCGAUGACGGAUCCUUAUCAUCAAGACUCACGAGCUACUUCAUUAGUCAACGCUCUUGCCAUUUAACUCUACGUAAGGACAAUACUUUCAUUAUUGAAAAAUAUAAUCCUUGCAGGUUCAGCAGACAAUUCGAUUUCUGUCAGGACAUCCCCAACAACUUGAAAGAGAUCACUCACACUUAUACUUUGGGUGAGGCUAUUCAACUAUGGGAUUCUUCGGUUCACACGCAGACGCGAUCUCGGAUGACUAUACCCACACACAGGAAGCAUCCGUUGAUCACAAAAGACUAUGAAGCCUGGUGGUCGACUCGGUCAAAUAGUGUCUCUUCAACUCCCUUAAAAUUCACCGUUAAGAUCUCUCAGCAAUCAGCGAAGAAGGGUAAGGUUACCUCCGCCAACGAGUCAGUGCAUCCUAAUGGAGUUAUAGAGAUUGUAACGGGUCUUACCUCAUCCACCUUGCGGAAGAACAAAACCAUUAGCAGCCCCUUGGAAAACAUUGUUACAAGAAAUAAGUCUUCCAAGGACUCUCGACAGGCCAUCAAAGAGGCGCAACCAGUGAUUCCAGCAAAGAAGAUGCCGCCCAAGGUUUCAAAAUCUUUAUCAGUGACUCACCCAGAAGAAAAUGUCGAAAUUGAAACGAUGGACGAUCGUGAUUCUCUCGAGGCUAUAGAACAAGAAGGGACUCAAGCUCAGGGCAUCUAAUCUACCCAAAGAGGAGCCCAUUCGUUGGCGAGUGGCAGUAGUAGCCAAGACCGUCAUUGGAACCGAUCGAAGAAGAGGACAUCUUCUGAUUUGGAGGAAGUUUCCUUUUCACCACCGUCGGUUGGAGUGUCACCACUUAAGGUAAUCAUAUCUUCCUUUUUUUUUUUUUAAACCCUCAUAACAUUUUUUUUCCCAACUCCCACUUCUUGAAUUCCACCAAGAAGAUGUUGGUACCAACUCACCACUUGAACUUGAGACUAAUGUUAUAAUUUCAAACAAGAAAGGUGACGAAGUCGUUAUCAGCAUUCUAAAACAACCUACCCCCAGUGGAGGUGCCUUGUCAAAGAAGGAGCUGACUAAUUUGCAUGAAAUCCGGAAAAAAUCUAAGGUAGCAUUGGUUUCAGAAUUUCAUGGUCAAAAAUUGAUCCAAGCGCAUCGGAGAAAGUACUUGCAAAGUUUGUGGAUGGAUUUUUGCGGACAGAUUCUUGACACCCCAAUUGAGCAGAUUUCUUCUUUAAAAGAGUGUGCAGAGGAAAUCAUUGCGAAAAUCACAAGAACGGAUCCUACCAAUGGUCUCCCUUUAAAAAACCACUUGAUAGAAUUGUUUGCCAAGGCGGAGGCAUAUGAUCUUUUGGCAUCUUCAUCAUGGGAAAGGAUGAGCAAAGAAACACACGCAGAACUCCUUUCCAAAGCGACCAUCCAACUCGGGAGAGUUAAGGCAAAGGAAGAAGAACUAACGUGUCAUUUGCAAAGUCUUGAAGAAAAGUUACAAUCCAUUGAAGAUAGGAAGAAAGCUUUGCAACAGGAACUUAUUGAUUUGGAGAAACAAAGAAUGGAAAUCAGCUCAACCAUCGAUCAAAAGCAUGAGACCUUCAACGAGAUCCAGACCGAGAUAAGACAAGCACAUGAUGAGCUCUCUUCUAUUGAAAAUACCAGCAUCUUGACUGAUGACGCAGUGAAGGAACUUGAAGACAUGAAGUCUGCACUUGAAUCAUGCAAAAUAGCUGUAGUGGAUUAUAAAUUUGACAUUUAGACUUUUUACCAUGUCCUUUUCCUGAAUUUGUUCCAUUUUUUUUUUCAUGUAAUGAAUUUUUUUUUUGAAUAAAAUGCUUUCCGUUCCUUAUCUCUUGUUUUUUUUCUUAAAGAUACAAGAACUCGAAUAUUUCAUUUAUAUCUUUUUUUUUAAAAGAGAAAAUUCUUUUUUUUUUUUGCAAGGAACAAGGAUUUGAUUUGGAGUGGUGUAACUGAACUUAGAAGUUGCCCUCCAAGCUGCCUACGUAUCACGUAGUUCCUGCCGUUCACAUUUUAACCUCAUGCGGGCCAAGAGUAUCUAUUUGUUUACCACCUUAGACUUGGUAGAGUGUUUCAGCAGUUUAACCACAUACUAUACUAUUGGUGGUUGCCAUCCACAAUUUUAACUCAUUCGGGCCAGGAGCAUCGCGCGGUUCCGAUUACGCAUAGUACCUUUUUAGGUACUUGCCAUUGAUGGGGCCAACCCUUAAUCCAUCUUCAGCAACCAACUUGUAUGAGCCAUUUGUAUAUACUUUUCGAACGACAUAUGGACCAUCCCACUUAGGAGUAAACUUUCUUUGUCCGCCAUGAGUGAGAAUGAUUGGUCUCCGAAAGGCGAGCACUAACUCUCCAAUUUGAAAAGAGCGGGGUCGAACGUGCUUAUUGAAUGCCUUUGAAAGACGAGCCUGAUAACACUCAAUCCGUUGCUGAGCUUCCAAUCUCUUUUCGUCGAGUGCUUCUAAUUCCUCAAGGCGAAGACGAACAUUAUCUUCUCCACUGAGCCAUUCUUGAAUUACAAUUCUUAGCGAAGGUAUUUGACACUCAAGUGGAAGAACAGCUUCAACACCGUAAACAAGCGCGUAUGGGGUUGCUUGUGUGGGAGUUCGCAAAGUAGUUCUGUAUGCCCAAAGCGCUUCUCCAAUUCGAAGAUGCCAAUCCCUUUUCGAUUUAUCCAUGAUUUUCUUCAACAGAUUACAUAAGGUCUUGUUGAAUGCUUCAGCGAGUCCAUUUGCAGCAGCAUUGUACAUGGACGAAUUGUAUUGCUUGAAAUGAAAAUUUUUUGCAAAGUUUGUUCAUUGCUACAUUGCAAAAAGGUUUGCCAUUAUCGGUGAUGAUAUAACGCGGGACCCCGUAUCGAUAAAUGAUGUGCGAGCGAAUGAAAUCUACUACAUUCUCCUUUUUGACCUCUCUUAGAGGAACCGCUUCGGCCCACUUUGAGAAAUAAUCCGUCGCUGCCAAAAUGAAAAUGUGUCCUCCAGAAGAUUUUGGGAGCGGUCCAACUAUAUCCAAACCCCAAGCAUUGAACGGCCAAGAAGCCACAGUUGGAUGCAGUGGUUCAGGAGGUUGGCGGAUGAAAUUGCCAUGGAAUUGACAAGCUUGACAUCUUUUAGCAAAAUCGAUACAGUCCUUUACCAUCGUUGGCCAGUAGUAUCCCAUUCUCUUAAUGUGAAAGUGUAAUUUCGGCCCAAAUUGGUGAGCACCGCAUAUCCCAGAGUGAGCUUCCUCCAUUGCUUGCAUGGCUUCAUUUUCUCCAAGACAUCGUAGAAACACCCCAUUGAAUGAUCUUCGGUAAAGCGUCCCUUUGUAGUAAAUGAAACGUGGUGCUCGACGACGUAUAUCGACCUUUUUCUUGGGAUCUUCUGGUAACUUUCCAUGAUUAAGGUAAUCAAUGAUGAGGUGACGCCAAUCCUUCUUUUCGAUCUCAUGGACAAAAAUAUGAUAAGCAUUUUCUUCCUCACCAUCAUCCUCUUCAUCAAACAUCGGAGGUAUGACCCAAUUUUGACAUAUUGAAAUUUGAUUUCGAUGAGAAGGUAGAGUGAUCAUGGACGCUAUCCUUGCCAAAGAGUCAGCUUGUUGGUUGAAAUUCCUAGGGAUAUGUUCUAUAGUGACAUCGCCCAGAUAUCCCAUGAGUUGUCUUGCAUACUUAUAAUAUGGGAUUAAUUCGGGUUUCUUGACAUCAUAAAUACCAAGAAGUUGAUUUACCACCAAUUUUGAAUCGCCAUAAACUCUAAGAUGCAAUUGCUUCAUGUCUACGGCCGUUUCCAGACCGAGAAUCAAUGCUUAAUAUUCGACCACAUUGUUUGAACACCGACGUGUUAAAAUGAAAGAAUACGGCAAUAUAUCUGCUUUAGGGGUAUAAAAGACAACUCCCGCACCGGCUCCAUCGCGGUGAGCGGCUCCAUCGAAAUACAUCGACCACGGAGAUUCGACCAUAAACACUUCUUCGUUGGGGAGUUCAUCAGUCAACUCCCAUUCGGCAGGCAUGGGAUGAUCGGCUAGAAAGUCUGCCAAUACUUGUCCUUUGACAGCCUUCGCAGGUACAUAAAUAAUUUCAAAUUGUUGAAACUGCAGGUACCAUCUAGCAAGUCGAUCGGACAGUACAGGUUUUGCCAUGACAUAUUUAACGGGAUUGGACUUGGAUAUGAGUCGGACAGUAUAUGCUUGAAAAUAAUGCUUCAACUUCUGAAUGGCAAAUAUAAGUGCCAAACACAACUUCUCGAUGGGUGUGUAAUUCAACUCAUUAGAUGUCAUCAUCCGACUCAAGUAAUACAGCGCAUUCUCCUUACCUUGAUCAUUUUCUUGAGCAAGUAAGGCCUCAACCGAUCGUUCUUGAGCGGAAAUAUAAAGAAUCAAUGAUUUUCCUGGAAUGGGUGCAGCCAACACUAGGGGAUUCAUGAGGUACGUUUUGAUGCUUGUAAAAGCAUUCCUACACGAUUCAUCCCACUCGAAGGGUACCCCUUUCUUCAUUAGUCGACUGAUGGGUUGGCAUCGUCCGGCCAAAUUAGAGAUAAACCUCCGGAUAUAAACCAACUUCCCUUGAAGGCUCUUCAAUUCAUGAAUAUUUCGCGGCUCAGGCAAGUUCACAAUGGCAUCAAUUUUAGAUCGAUCGACCUCUAUUCCCCGUUGAUGAACGAUGAAACCGAGAAAUUUGCCAGAAGUGAUUUCGAAUACGCACUUCAAAGGAUUCAUCUUCAGUUGGUAUCUCCGAAGGCGUUGAAAAACUCUUCGAAGGUCUUGGAUAUGAUCCUCUCGCUUCUUGGAUUUCACCACAAGGUCAUCAACAUAGCACUCCACAUUUCUAUGGAGCAUAUCAUCAAAAAUUCUUUGCAUUGCCCUUUGAUAUGUCGCUCCAGCAUUUUUCAAGCCAAAUGGCAUCACUUUAUAGCAAUAAAUUCCCUUAGGGGUGCGGAAGGCCGUGAGCUCCUCAUCCUCGGGCGCCAUGCGUUUUUGAUUAUAGCCAGAUGAUCCAUCAAGAAAAGAUAGUGCUUCAUGCCCGGUUGUAGCAUCUACCGUCAAUUCUGUGAUGGGGAGCGAAAAAUCAUCUUUAGGGCAAGCCUCAUUUAAGUCUCGAAAAUCGACACAAAUUCGAAUUUGCCCAUUCUUCUUCCUUACAGGGACGAUACUUGAAAUCCAUGUCGGAUAUUUCACUUCCCGUAUGAACCCAGUUUCAAUCAAUCUAUUUAUCUCAUUUUCUAUCAGAGGAAUCAAUUCGGGCCGAAAGCGCCUUUGAGCUUGCUUGACAGGUUUUGUUCCACGCUUGACGGACAAAUUAUGAACAGCGAUCCUUGGAUCUAAACCAGGCAUUUCUGAGUAAUUCCAGGCAAAGACGUCCCUGAAUUCGAGCAGCAAAUCAACAUACUCUUUCUCUUCUUCAGGAGUCAUACAAGAGCUUAUGUAAAUUGGGCGAGGAUCGUCGCUUGUGCCAAGGUUAAUCUCUUUUAGCGCAUCGACUGUAUUUUUUACCCCUUGUUCAAGUUCAGGGGGAGCGUCAUCCGCAUCUUCUUCUUCUUUUUCGAGAUCACUGAUCGUAAUAUGGUGACAGGAAGCCAUACUUUCUUGACCCUGUUCUUAAAAAAUGGUUUCAAUUCUUACAUUGAAUAAGUCUCUAUAGUGCACGAAGAAAUUGGAGACUCGCUUUCUUGGUCCGUUCUUCUUUAUUAGAGUAAGACUUUCUUUCUUGACAACUUGGUACUCUUGCUUUUUAUUGCCUAAUCUUUCAUAGACGGGCGGUUUCAAAUAUUUCGGCUGCGGGCCAAGUCUGUCAAAUACAGAAGUACGUUUUGACUUAUUUCCCAACCUAUCGAACACAGAUCUCCUUCGGCUUGUGACUUCCAUUUCCUCGUUCACGUAGUUACAACUUGCCCUUUUGAUCAUUAUACGCACUGGAGAAGGCGGUUGAUAACCAAGACCCAUCGAUGAACUUUCAACAUUAUAGCCUUUUUCUUUCAACAUUUUCUGCGUAGGUGUUAAUCCAUGAGUCUUCUCACCAGUCACCUCAGGAGGGAGUUUGCCCAAUGCAUGCUUCUCAUUUGGGUAAUAACCGGCCUUAGCAAGAAGUCUGUAUGCGUUUGGAUCAAAACCUUCUUGAGUCCGAUUAGUUGGUAGUGAGUAAUGUUCUACUGCCGGUUCUUCUUUGGGACGAACAAAUCCUUGCAAGCUCACCUUCGUACUUUUAACAGGCUCUAUUUUGGUGAGCGGAACAUUUAAUGUAUCAUUCCUGAUAAAAGAAGACUGACCUUCUUCUCUCCUUGAUCUUGGAAUAUAUUGCAAAAUGGGUACUUUGAAAUCUUGACUUUCUUCCUCUACUGAUUCUUUUCUUUUUGCUUCCUUCUGAAGGUAAAAUUUGGCGUCCGCAAAGUGAGUCUCGGCCUCAGUGAAAGGUUUGUCAUCGGCAGUAACUUUCUUAACUAUACCAUCUCGACAAUAUUUGAAACAUUGAUGAAGAGUAGACGGUAUAAUUUCAUUCUCAUGAAUCCAAGGCCUUCCCAAGAGCAUGUUAUAAGAGGUUUUGGCUUCAAUGAUAUGAAAUAACGUACUUGAAGGCAACACACCAAUGAGCAAUUCAAGCCUUAUGAGGCCAAUUGCUCUUUGCCCCCUUGGUUAAAUCCUUGGAUCAUGAGGCGGUUCUGGGAGAGUUCAUCGCUGGAAAUUCCUAAUUCUUUCAUAGCACGUACGGACAUAAUAUUGACAGUAGAUCCCCCAUCAAUGAGUAUCCGAUUCAUCUUCUGUUCUCGGACAUACACGCUAACAAACAAAGGCCGAUUGUGGGUUUUAAACUCAACACUUAAAUCGUCAUCAUCAAAAAUGAUGGUCGUUGCAUAAUUCACUGGUGAUUUAUCGUCGAUUUUGAGUUUUUCCUCAAAUUUCGUGCUAAUUUGUGUAACUUGAGAAUUUUCAGCUUUGACGACAUUACAAGAGGUGAAAUUAUCGGUAUCGUCACUUAAAUACACCUUGGGUAUAAAUUCUCUCAGUGUCACGGGCUGCUGAACCUCUUGAAGGAGCUGAAAAUCUGAAGAAAUUGGUUUUGUGGCCACUCCCUUUUAUUUUUUUGUUGCAUUUCGUCGUUUCAUCGUCACUUUCGAUUUUGUCGAAUGAAUGCUUUUCGAAAAGGUGUACUUCUUUAUUUUUGGCUUGCAAGUCAUCUUUCGAGUGAUUAAAGUCCAUCCUUCGUUGUCAUCUUCAAUAACGUCUUCAAUUGAGGAUUUUUCAACCUCCUUGGACAAAGCACUGCUUGUUGUGGCUAAAACUUCUACCGGACAACAUACAGACCCAAAUAUUAUUGUUGUUUGGUUUGCCGAUGCUUUAUCUUCCUCGAGAAGGAUCUUUCCUUGACGGGCCAAUUCCAUAAUUUUGUCUUUAAAGACAAAGCAUUUAGUGAGAGGGUGGCCAAUCAGGCGAUGAUAACAGCAAUAAUUUGGAUCAUUGACUUGACCGGCUUCCUUUGGGCGCUUCAUUUCAGGAAGUUCAAGGAGUUUCUCCUUGAAAAGGUCAUCAAACAUCCCUUGUAAAUCAGAUUCAAGAAAUGGGUAUUCUUUUUCUUGCAUCUCUUUUAACGUGGGUCUUCUUAUUGACCUAUUUUGAGAUGGAUCCAACUUCUCAGUGACCUUUCGACUCACUUUGGUAGCAAUUUUCAUGGGGGCUGUAUUUAUUGCCAUAGACUCCUUAUUACUGAGUCUUGAAGGAGGCUUGCCCCCUUUUUUAUUUUCUUGCCUUUCAUUGUUUUGACGAGACGGCUGCACUCGCGGAUCUUGAAUAGGAAGCCCAUCAGUUGCAUUGGCCGUGAUGCUUAACUCUAUGUCAUGAGCAUGAGUAGCUAAUUCUUCAAAUGUGUUUGGGCGUAUACCCUGCAGAAUGUAGUUUAGGCUCCAAUGCAUUCCUCGAAUACACAUUUCUAUGGCAGAGGGUUCAGACAGCCUGUCCUUGCAGUUGAGACUCAGACUUCUCCACCUAUCAAUGUAGUUGACCACAGGUUCAUCCUUCCAUUGACGAGUGUUAGUCAACUCCAGCAUACUGACGGUUCUUCUAGUGCUGUAGAAGCGAUUCAAGAACUCUUGUUCCAACUAUUCCCAACUGUCGAUGGACCCCAGAGUGAGAUUAGUGUACCAAUCAAAUGCGUUGCCCUUCAAGGAUCGGACGAACUAUUUGACUAGCAGGUCACCAUAGGUUCCAGCGUUAUUGCAGGUUUCAACAAAAUUGACCACAUGUUGUUUUGGACAACCCUUCCCAUCGAACUGUUGAAAUUUAGGCUGUUGAUAUCCAGCAGGCAUUGCGAGAUUGUCGAUUCUAGCAGUGUAAGGCUUGCAGUAGGUAAAGCUUGACUUUGAACCACCCUCCUUUUUAUCUUUGAUCACGCCUUCAACAAGUUCAUUCAGUUGUUCCACGGGGAUAGUUCCAUCGGCGGUCACAUAUACUUCCUUCACCUUGUCUUUGUCUUUAGAUGAGGGAAUUUCACGCUCUUGGUUCGCAUGGCUUCCUUCAGGAGCGUGAUCUUUCUGGGUGAGCAGUUGAGCAAUGAGAGCAUCUUGGUCCUUGAUGUGUUUCAUCAUGGUUUCCAUCAUCUUGGACAUGUUCGAAACUUGUUCUUCGAGACUUAAAGUAUUUGUCAUCAUGGCAGGCAUUGCAACAGAAGAAGCAGCAGAAUCUUCAAUAGAAAAUCUUGAAUGAAGAGUUUCGUGUGAAGAGGCUGAUCCAGUGCUUGAUGAAUCAUCGUCAUGCUUAGAAAACUUGGAUUCGGAUCCAAAUUCGAUCAUAGCAAGAGCCUUCUCAAUCGAGGCAGGAACGUCUUGGAUCCCCAUCGUGGAAGAAUAGCUCAUUGGUGAUGUUGAACCGAAGACGGGAGUUGGCACCGAUGGAGCUUCCAUGCUACUUUGGGUGGAGGCUCUCGUCAUACUCCUUGUCACAGGACCAAUAGCGCGGGUAUUGGUGGCAACAUGUGCAGCUUCCUGAACAGGUUUAGCAUCAGUAGCCUUGGAACGUGUAAUCACGAUUUUGUUGCUCUUAGGUGCCAUUGAUGAUGUAUAUAGUUGAAUAUUCGAAGAGAAGAGAUGGAAGGCAGAGAGUGUCCCACCGGGCGUGCCAAAAAUUUGUACGCGAUAAAAAUUUCAAGUCUGCAAAACGACAAGGAAAAGAAAUACACGACAAAUAUGUAAUAUAUAAAUUUAGAAAAAUGUGUGGGUACAAUCUCUGGAAGUUUCUCGAACUUAUGGAGAGUUUCCUUUGAUUCUUCUCCUCGAACACCAAUCCAAGGGCUUCGCAGCUUGUUCUCGGAUCAACCACCGAUUCUUUCAAAUCUUGAUAUGGAAGAUUUGAAGAACUUGAGAAUAUUUGAAGGCUCAAGUCUUGAUAUGCGGAAGACUUGAGGAGCUUUGAGACCCAGACCUUCGUAGCUUGGAGCUUCAAUACUUGAGUGUAUGAGAUGCCUCUUAAUAUCUCUGUGUCUUUGAUUUGGUUGGGAGACCUCUAUUUAUAGCUGUAACAAGGGGUAGAGGUUGAAGACCUGUGUACCACUUUACUUGCAAGACGUGCAGUCAUAUUAGAACUGUGCCAGUUAAAUAUUAUCUCUUCAUUUUAUAUUUAUCAAUAAAGAGAUAGAUAAUUUCUCGAUUGGCCAAGCCUGUGGGGACAAGUGACGUGGCGCCGUCUGAUUGGACAGUCCAUUGCGGUAUAUAAGAGAUAUAUAUGGAUCAAACGACUCUAAAUAUUAUCUCUUUAAUAAGAAAUAAAUAUUUAAAUGUCUAUCCAGUAGACAUAUGAUAUGAUAUGAUUUGGUUGGUGGAGAUAUCCCUACAAUUUGAAUAACUUUGGAACACCUCACCUUGACACGUGGAAAAAUAUAAUUGGCCAUUUAAUAACCAAUUUUUCCAAGUGUACCUGCCAUAUGGCAAUAUCCGAUUGGACAAAAAUAUUUUAUAGACCAAUGAUAAUUUUUUUAAAAUUUCAUCGUCUACAUGGGUAUAGGGGGGAGGGAACUGCACACUUUAUUAAUUAAACAUUGCUGGUUGCUACUUCUUGUUAGAAAUUUGGUAUAUAUUCGUGCAAUAGUAGUGAAUUAAUUAAAGAGAAUUUCUUUUAAACUUGGUUAGUAUAAGUACAGAUUGUAGAUAUAUGUGUUACGCUACGUACAUAUUAUUUUGCUAAACUUACCUAGUGAAAGAAAUUGGUUGCAAUUUAGUGUGCCUUGACAUCUUGUUAGAGAAGUAUUAUUUUAUGUGAAUAAAUCGUAACAAUGGAUUCAGAUUGUGAUAGUGUUGUAAAAUGGUUUCAGACGAGAGAUUUUUGGAAGAAGUGUUGCAGAAAUAUAGUGUCAUCAGUCAAUGUACCGAGGGAACACAAGAAGUAACUGCUGCGGAACAAGAAUUUUUCAUAAAGGCUACAAAAUGGUGAAAGUUGGUGAGAUCUGAAGCAGAGAUACACUCAAUCGAAUUGGACUAAAUCACAAAGGUAAGAAUAUUGCAAACUUAUCACAAUAUUUGGCUUGUUUUGUGACUGAAGAAGGAUGAACUUACUUGCAUGGUUUUGUUUGUACAACUUGUUUAAGAUGAUGUGACAUAAAUAAUGAAUUUGAAACUCUGACGAAAACUCCUAAACAAGGAAACUGUGGGUAACACAAGUUAGAUACACUAAGAGCCAACUUGGGGGAGGUAUGCACAGGGAACUUAUGCAUGCCAAGUAUUUGUAAAUUCGACUCAGUAGACGAAUUAAAUGACUUAGGAAGUUUAUAAGCAUAUAACAUAACAGGGAGAGUAUGAAUGUAAUUGUUUUUUUUUAUUCUUGUUGCAGGAUAAUAGUGACACCGUAUAAUUUAGACUGCAUUACCAACUGUGUAUGGGUGCUCACAUUACAAUGGACUGACACAUACAAAGAUAAAGAUAACCGAAUUGAGUUAUUGUAAAUUAUACAAAUGAAAUAGGGAGUACAACAAAGAGGGAUUCCUUCAAGAUUACAAGGUAUCUGAGUGAUUGUGGCUAGCUGUACUUCUUGAUCACAGUAGACUGACACAUACAAAGAUAAAGAUAAGCAAAUUGAGUCAUUGUAAAUUAUACGUAUGAAAUAGGGAGUACAACAAAGAGAGAUUCCUUCAAGAUUACAAGGUAUCUGAGUGAUUGUGGCUAACUGUACUUCUUGAUCACAAAUAAUUUUUGAGAUAAACUACUGACGAUUGGAAAAUACACUCAUGUAUAAAGAGGAAUUCUUCUAGGAUUACACGAUAUCUGAGUAAUUGUGGGUAGCUAUACUUCUUGAUAGUAAAUAUUUUUUUGAGAUAAACUGAUAGUUAAGAAAUACUCUUAUGUAUCUCUAAUUAAGUGGAUUCUAACAUGGUUUGGCAUCUAUAUACAUAGAGAAUUACAUUGGAGCGAGAAAUGAAAAAAGGAAUAAUUGACACAAGGGGAGAGGGAACUACACACUUUAUUAAUUAAAUAGUACUGGUUGCUACCUUGUGUUAGAAAUUUGGCACUUAUUCAUGCAAUAGCAGUCAAUUAAUUAAAGAGGAUUUCUUUUAAAUUUGAUAUGAGUGUAGAUUGUAGAUAUAUGUGUUACGCUAUGUACAUAUUGUUUAGCUAGACUUACCUAGUGAAAGAAAUUUGUUACAAUUCAAUGUUACUUGACAUCAUGUUGGAGAAGUAUUUUUUUAUCUGAAUAAAUAGUGACCAUGGAGUAAAACUGUUAUGGUGUUGUAAAUUAGUAUUUCACUAAUGUAAUGAUGUUAAAAUCAUGUCUGUCUAAAUGACAAUAGAAGAAAAAUUUAUAAAUAGAUGGGAAGGAGAGGGAAGGAGGAUUUGCACAUAAUAUUAAAUAGCAACUAUUGUUACCUCAUGCUUGUAAUAUUGUACCUUUUUGUAGAAUAGUAGUAUAAUAAAUGAAACAUAUUUCUUGAAACUAGAUGGGUAUAAGUAUAUAUUGUAAUUUGUAUCUAGUAGGUCAAAUGACAUAUUGUUUAGACUACCUUUCUUAUAGUUAUCUUAAUUAGUGUGCAUGUACAUCUUGUUAGAUAACUAUUACAUUCUAUGAUAGAACAGUGACAGCAUAGAAAUAAUUUGACAUGGUCAUAAAUGUACAAUCAACUAGCAUAAUGAUAUUAAAUCAGGUCCAGGAGAUUGAUAAUGGAAACCAUGUAGAGAAAGAAAUGCAGACAUUAAUAAGCAUUAGUAAUUGUUUACUCUUAUUUAUAAGUUAAAACCUCGACUAACUGUAGCAAUCCAAUAUUGAAACCCACAAUAUGAGAGUUGAUUGGCAUCAGUCUUGGUUCUAAUGUCUAUAUGUUAGGCCGAAUGUACUUGUUGUUCAAAAUAUUUACCUCACAAUUGAAUUUGCUAUAUCAUUCUUGGAACUAAUUUAUCUUGAUUUAGGAAUGUUGGGAGAAAAUCUUAUGUAAUUGAAAUGUAGUUGUUUAUCAAAAAGUUGGUGCAGAUGGCAUGAAGGAGAUUGAGAAGUUCGACUAAGAAAGCAUCUAGAGAAGAAAAAAGUGAAAAAUCAGGUAGCAGCAAACUUGAGGCACCUUCAAAAUCCUUGAAUACGUAAGUUGUCGAUGUUUUUAUAUUGCGCCAAUAUGUUAGUAGAUAGUGAGAUGUAACUGUUUGACUGAUUGUAAUUAUGAGUUGUUGAAUUGGUCUCACACUGUGUUAAUUUGCAUAGAUAAGAGUAUAUGAAAUUUUAGCCAAACUGAUAUAUGUUGAACAAAGUAAAUAAUCUUUACAAUUUGCAUGAGCAGUGGCAAGAUGGCACCGAAAAGGACAAUGAAGAAUCCAAGUAACAAGGAAGAAAUAUAAAUAGGGGGAACUACUGACCUUGCAAAACCAAUCCCAUCAUUUAUAAUUAGAAAGGAAAAGAAGAAAUCAACUUGAGAAGAAGAAAUGGAGCAAGCGAAACUCAGUUGCAGCAUUGUACAACUCUUUUACCUUUCUUUUACAUAUUUUUGUUAUCACAACAUUUGUAAAUUUUUUAUUUCAAUUUAUAGAAAAUAUUAUGUAGUGAUAGGUAAGAAUCCUUGUAGAUAUCAUUAUAAUUAUUGUAAAUUUUUGUUCAAUUUGUAGAUUUAUUUGAAAUAUUGUAUAUAUCUAUUAGAAUUAUUAUACAUAUUGUUAUAAUUAGAUUGUACAUUUGGCUAAUUUUUUUAUUCAAUUUUUAGAAAUAUUUGUAAAUAAUAAAAUUAUCUAACAAAAAGACACUUGUUAUGUUUAUAAACUUAACAAACUUCUCCAUUCUUCAUUUUUUUUAUGAGGAAUCCAUUAUUCAUUUUAAGUCGCACAUCAUCCCUCUUUAUGUAUAUGUUAUUUUUAUAUGCAUCAUAUCUAAUAAACCCAAAAAUAUUUAUUCAAAGAGCAAUUAAAUGAUAGAAAUAUGUCAAAGUUGACAUUCCAACCAACCUAAAGAUAUUUGUUCAAAGAACAAUUAAAUGCUAGAAGUAUGUCAAAAUUGACAUGCCGCCAAUCACUUUUCUAACGCUUUUAGUUCGGGUUGAUAAAAAUGAAAAUGAGUAACAUUAUGGUUGGGUGUUACAAAUUUGUUGAUGGAUAAUUAUUAUUUUAUAAGAUUAUAAUAUAUUAACAACUAAAAUCUUACCUAAAGCCACUACUUUCAUAAUAGUGGUAGAUGACUAGUUAAAUUUUUUUUUCAAUCAGUAUGUAUGUAACUUAUAAGUAACCAAAUGUAACUAAUUUUUACCAAUUUGUAAACCAAAAUCUUUAUUUCCUUAAACAUGUCAUAAAAUGGGUUAAAUAGUUUGUAAGACAUUAGCAAUGGAAAGUCAAUAAAUACCAACAUGGACUACAACAUCAGUAUGUUACUAAUUAGCAAUAGAAUAUAAUUUUUUUUUUACCAAUCAAUAGAAUAGAAGUUAUUGCUUUGGAUAUAUUAUAAAACAGAUCGAGCUAAUAAUAAAAAAUUAGCAAUAAAUAAUUUUUAAAUACUAACUAAAUAUACAAUACUCAUAAAUAGAAUCUAAAAUGAGUAAUUUAACUUUUUUCCCCUUGGACAUUGUAAAAUAGAUUGAACAUGUGGUAAUGAAUUAAGAACUAAAUGUAAGUACAUUCUCACGAAUGUUACGAGUCUGGUACAAUAAAACUAUCUAAUUGUCCAAUAUAAUGUCUUUGCUCCACCAGCAUUGAUUGAUAUCCAUUGAUUUGUCAAAAGACGCUACUUUUGCCCAUGACAUGCUGCAAAAUAAGGUGAAUACGAUAUAAUGUGUUAACAAUUACAUACAUGGUAUAGUUAAUCAAAUCCCAAUUUGUAUGCCUAUAUGAAUUCUAUGUAACCAAUGAACAACUAUAAAUUAAAUUUAUUCUUACAUUAUGUGUAUGCAUGUGACAGUGUGUAAGGGCUAACAACCAAUUACAAAUUCAAACAAUGGACUAAUUUAUGUAAAUUUAUGACCAUGUAAGCAUACAUAACAUAUAGUACUACUCUAUAACCAUUAACAACGUGUACACUCUACAGAUAAAUGCUAAUAUCAACUAUAACAAAGUUUGUAAAAUAUAUUUCAACUCACGUAACUACUUUUUCUGCACUAUAUCUAAUCUCCCUUUUACAUGCAUAUAUAAUCAAGUAACUAACACCUAACAUGAUGUACAUUUUUGUAAACUGAUUGUACUUCAUAGAUCAUCUCGUGUAAGGUAUUCACAGACAAAUAAUGACUACUCAUACAAGUAAAAUUACACAUCUACUACAGGAAGAUGCACAAAUUGAUCAAAGGGCUAAAUAACCAUUCUAAAUUUAUGCGUACCAUUGCACUACCUUUUAUAGAUAUACACGGUCAAGUAACUAACAUAUAACAUAAUGUACAUUUUUGUAAACUGAUUGUACCUCAUAAAUCACUUCGUGUAAGGUGCUUAUAGGCAAAUUAGUAUUAAUCAUAUAGAUAAAAUUACAUACCCACUGCAGCCUGCAAGGAGAUGCACAAGUGGAUCAAAGUACCAAUAACCAUUCCAAAUGUAUACAUACCAUUGCACUAUGCAUAUUGCUGCGAUGAAUAAUUGUAAUAUGCAUGUGAACAAAUAACUGCAUGUUUAACAAGUUUUAUGCAUCGUACUUGAUUGAUAACAUGGUAUACAUUAUUUCAAUCAGAUUAUGCAUUCACAAAGUAUUUAUAUACAUGCUACUUACUGAAAUGAAUUACCUCUCUACUAAAUGUUUGAUGCACUCUCAUAAGCACUAAUGGUUGAUUUAACAGGUGAUUGGAACAAAUAACUAUCUAGUAAAAGCUUUUGAUAUAAUAUUAUUGAUGAAUAACAUAUUGUACAUUCUGAUAAACAUGGUGUAUAUCACACACCUUAUCUUGGCCAAUAACCAUUUCAAAGUUAUACAUAUCGUUGCACUACCUUUUACAGAUAUAUAUAGUCAAGUAACUAAUACAUAACAUGAUGUAUAUUGUUAUAAAUUGAUUGUACCUCAUAGAUCACCCCAUAUAAGGUGCUUAUAAGCAAAUUAGUAUUACUCAUACAAGUAAAAUUACACAUCUACUACAGCCUGUAAGAAGAUGUACAAGUUGAUCAAAACACUAAUAACCAUUCCAAAGGUAUGCAUACCAUUGUACUAUCUUUUAUAGAUAUACACAUUCAAGUAACUAAUACCUAAGAUGAUGUACAUUUUCAUAAACUGAUUGUAUUUAUACAUAACACUGUAUAAGGUGUUUACAGACAAAUCAAUACUACUCAUACAAGUAAAAAACAUUUACUAAAAAUCAGUACAAGUUGUGGCUGCAACGGCUAAUUGCAAUAUGCAUGUGGACAACUAACCGCAUAUUCAAUAAUUUGUAGACAUUGUAUUUGGUCGAUUAUAUAGUAUACAUUAUUUCAAUCAGAUUGUACAUUCACUAAGUAUGUAUGUACUUGCCACUCAUUGAAAUAAACUAUCUAUCUAAUUUAAUGCACUCUCAUAAGCACUAAUGGUCAAUUUCAUAGACGAUUGGAACAAAUAACUAUCUAGUAAAAACAUCUGAUAUAAAUGUUAUUAAUGAGUAACAUGCUAUAUGUUCCAAUAAACACGGUGUACAUCACAUACCUUGUCUAGGCAAAAUCUUACAAGUUAUCAAAAGGUACGCCAUAUUUUAAAAGCAAUUACAAGUAGUAAAAUUUAUACCUUGCAACAAGUUACACCAUACUUUAAAAGCAAUUACAAGUCGGCAAAUAUCAUUAUAAUCAUGUUAUGAGAUACUUUGCAACAAGUGUACCUUCUUGAUGUUGUCAAGCCAUCCUAAUCUUUGUUUAGGUAGACUUUCUGGAUGCUGAAACCUAUGACAAAACCAUAUAUGUGAGUGAUGGUCGCAUAGUGUCAUAGUUGUGCACAAUAGGUUUCUGAUAAUAUACAUGUUGUUAGAUGACAAUUACGGUUUAUAGUCACAAAUGUAUGCAUUGUGAGUCAGGUAUUGCAGUGCUGUACUCCCUAUUUUAUUCGUGUAAUUUAUAAUAACUCACUUUACUUAUCUUUUAUCUUUGUAUGUGUCAAUUUACUAUGAUGUGAGCGCCCAUACACAGUCGGUAAUACAGUUUAAACUAUACGGUGUCACUACUAUCCUGCAACAAGAAUAAAAAAAAAACAAGUAACAAUUACCUUUACACUCUCCCUGUUAUUUUAUAUGCCUAUAAAUAUCCUAAGUCAUUUAAUUCGUCUAUUGAGUCAAAAUUACAAACACUUGGAAUGCAUAAGUUCCCAGUGCAUACGUCCACCAAGUUGGCUCUCAGUGUAUCUAACUUGUGCUACCCAUAUGAUUUCCUUGUUUAGGAGUUUUCGCCAGAGUUCCAAUUUCAUUAUUCAUGUCACACUGUCUUAAACAAAUUGUACAAACAAAAUCAUGCAAGUAAAUUCAUCCCCGUUGUGUCACAAAACAAGCCAAAUAGUGCAAUGAAUUUGCAAUAUUCUUACCUUUGGGGUUUAGUUCAAUUCGAUUGAGUCUACUUCUGCUUCAGAUCUCACCAACUUCCGUCUUUUUGUAGCCUUUAUGAAAAAUUUUUGUCCCGCAACAGUUUCUGCAACACUUUCUCCAAAAACAUCUCAUCUAAAACUUUUCAAUUUGGGGUAGGGAUAUUAUUUUGUUGAUACUCUGGAAUUGUGAAUGAAUGUUCACAAGAUAUGUUUUUGGAGGGAGACCAAAAUUCUAUUUCAUUUGAAGAUUUCAGAUGAAGAGUCGUGCCUCAUUGAUUUGAGCGGGAAUUUUUGGAACAGAUAGCUGAGGUAUUUUAACAGAGCCCAUUAGCCCCUCAAAUGUUUUUUUUUAUUUUUUCCAUACUCACUUACUGAAACAACGUCGUUUUCCUUUGCUGUUGCCCCCAUUAUACGUGGCUUGUUGCAGUCCUCUCAUUUCCUUUUGUGAGAGGACUGCUCAGGGACGGUCGACCUGAUGACUGUCCCUGCCCCAAAUCCGUGCUAGACCGACCCAAAAACGGAGAUCGCCGAGGACGCCUCAUCAUUUAUUUCUUCAUUUUUUCUGGUCAGUAAAAACCCAAUUGAAUUCCUAGACUUAUUAUUCCUUCAAUUCUCAGAACCGGAGAUCGCCGAGGAAGCCUCAUUAUUUAUCUUCUUCAUUUUUUUCUGGUCAGAUAAUUCCCAAUUGAUGCCCCCAGACUAUUAUUCUUUGAAUUCUAUUUUUUUUUCAAUUUUUAGAUUUAUCAUAUUCAUCUCUUUUCCCCAAUAGCCAUCCAUCCAACCUGGUCCAUUCUUUUUCCCACCCAAUCUUUUAGCCAUUUAAAGUUUAAACUCUAAAGACUUUUUCCCAAAAAUUCUCUCUUAGCUUCAGAUUUUUAGAAACCCGGCUCCCAUCCAAAAAACAAGAGACAAAACCGAAAGAAAAAUUUCACCCGGAUCAUUAGCCAUUUAAACUGUCAAAAUAUCUAACUAUAUAAAAGCGGGAGUUGGAGAAUGAACAGUGAAAUUUUGGUCGAGCGAUUAUCACGUAAUUUUGGGCAACUUUGAGGGCAAUUGUCAAGUGGCAUUUUGGUCUUUUGACAUGUGGCUGGCUCUGGCUUUAGGAAGAUUCGGUUAAGCGUCAGAAUUGCCGAUGCUAUUUCAUUGAUUCUCUUUUGCUAGAAAAAUACAACAAUUAUUAAGAUGGCUCUUGGCAUUAUAUUUCAAUAAAAAGGUCUGGCUCUGGCUGAGGCUUGUUAGCUGUAUUAUUGUGCUCUGUGUGCUACAGGGGCUAGGACUCACAAAAGAGAGCUGUACCUAUACACUUUCUAUUGUAAGUAAUGCUGCAAGCCUUGUUUUAGAGCUCUGCCAUAUGCCCUUUAAUCUUCUCCAAUAUCAACCCACCUCGGGCCGCCUCACCAAGAAAACCAGAAAAAAAGGAAAAAAAAAAGAAGAAAAUCUCUCUCAGGCUCUCCAAUAGAUAUAUAUAUAUAUAUCUAAAUAUAUAAAAGGGAGAAUUGGAUAAUGAAUAGCUCCAUUUUGGUCAAGCGAUUAUGCUGUAAUUCUUGAGCCCGAGGGAAAAAAUAACAAGCCCAACAUUGUCAUCAUAUAAGUAAGCAAAAUCGGUUAAGAUGCCAUGUUUCAACUAAAAAUGGUUUCUAAUUCUAUAGCUUUUUCAAAAGUACAAUUAGAAGGAUAUAUAUUAGUCUAUAUAUACAUAUUUAGUCUAUAUAAUUAUUGGAAAAAUUUUAAUUCCCUUAUUUUUAUUAUUAUACUUUUCAUUCUAUAUAUAUAUAUUCUAUAAACAUGAGCUUACUUUUGUCUUCUAUGUGUGCUACAUUAUGAGUCUAUUUCCUUUUUAAAAGAAUAAUUAGUUUGUUAUUUUACUAAUAUAUCCAUGUUUAGUGUAUAUAUAAUAAUUAUAAAAUUUUUUAACAUAUUUGUUUUCUCUAAUGGCUCUAAAUUGCUGUAAAUUGAAAAGCGAUAUUGUGUGCUAAUCUUUGUAUAUUAUUUAUUUAAACAUGUAACAUUAAUUAGACUAUUUCUUACAUUUGAAAAUUAAAGUACUCUAAAUUUGAAAAAUAAUGUAAUAAUACAUGUCUUUUUUGUGACCGGAGAGGUCACCGGCGGUGGCGGUCGGCGCGGCGCCACCGGCGGCGACCAUGGCCGCCAGCUGAAGCUCCUUCAGCUGGCCGAAGAAGAAGAGAAAAAGAAACGGCUGGAAGUGGAGAAAGGAAGAAAAGAAAAGAAGGAAAGAAAGAAAGAAAAAAGGGGUUUGGGCUAAGGUUAGUUUUUAGGUGGUUUGUGAUUUUUUUGUUAGGUCUUGGGAUGGGUUUUGGUUUAUUUUUUCUUUUGGGUUUCGGUUGGGCUAGGAGGUUGGAGCCCAUGUUUUUUUGGCUGGGCUUGAGGGAUAAAAAGGCAGGCUGGCCUGUGUGUUUGGCUUGGAUUUUCGGCUGGGCUUAGGUAGUGUUCGGCCCAAAUAGAUAAAAUGAUGGCCCAGUGGCCUGUUUUCUUAAGAAGAUCAGAAACCGAUUCUUGCACUUUAGCCCCUGAUUUUUGGAGUAGUUUCACUGUGGCCCAGAAUAUUUUAAAUUUAUUUCAUGUCGGUCCUUAUAGUAAUUGCACUUUGGUCCCUGAAUUUUAUCUUUUAUUUAAUUUUGACCCUAAACUUUGAAAAAAUAAUUUUUGUCCCCAAAAGUUUUUCAAUUUUUGCAAUUCAGUCCCUGAUGAAUUUUGACUCUCUUUAUUAUGAUUGUUUCUUUUCUUUAAUAGCUAAUUAUGCUACUUUUGAAUAUACUUAAUUUGGAAAUUUUUUAGAUUUACUUAAAUUUCUUUACGUCUGACAUAUUAGCGUGAAUUUAGUACUUGUAUUAUUAUUUUCUUUUCCAAUUAAAUUGGUGCCAUGAUCCUUUUGUUCAUUGUGAGUAUAAAUAGGACAAUUUGACUCCAUUUAGUCACCACUUCAAACGGGAGGUACCCCUAUUUUAUUAUUUCAAUGUCAAUUACGUGCUCUUAUGUGUUCCUAUGUGUUUAUAUUUUUAUAUGCUUUAUUUAUUUGAUUUAAAUAUUCAUUCAAAUUUUCUUAUAUAUGUUUAGUUAAUUUUUACAAUGAUUCAAGAGGCAUUUAAAAACCUCAAAAAUGUAAUAGAUAGGAUAAUUAGAUUUUAUUAUUAUAUUUUUCCCUCCUAUAUUGUAGUUAGGCGCUCCCCGAUGUAAUAGAUAAAUUGCGUGUUUAUGUGGCUUAUGUGUUAUGUGUUUUAUCCGCUUUUCUUAGGAUUUGGCAUCUAGAUAUUAUGCUUACGUGUUAUGUGUUACGUGCUCUUAUGUGUUUAUUUGUUUUAAUUUAUGCUUUAUUUGCUUCACUAUGAAUUGUUAAUACAUGACGUCACCACACUAGUCCAACGCUAGUUGUGGCUUCUCUCUUCGCUUACUUGCUAGUUCAACGCUAGUAAAGAUUUUUAGAAAUGGGCUAAUCCAAUGCUAGACCCUUUAAGCCUUCUUGCAUUAGAUUCAUCUUUGUGUGAUAUUCAUUACAUUUUUAUUCAUAUUUUCAUUUUUAGGAUCUUUUCUCAUUUGCGUGAUAUUUCCUAUUAUAUUAUCCUCUAUCCUCUAUAUGUGUUAAUCAUGUCAUUUAGAAUUGCAUCUCAUUUAAAUUAGUUCAUUUGCUUGUCUAUGUUAGGAGAAUUAUUUUUCAAACAUGGGAAAUGGGUGAUUAUAACCUUUUAGUUUAAAUACCCUAUCAAUCCAUGUAUAAGAAAAUUAUGUCACGAGUUUUUGCCUCCCGUACCCUUUACGUUGCAUUCCAUUUUUCUUUGAUAACUUAUAUAUAUGUAUAUAAUUUAAUUUAUUUUCUUUUAUUUUAAUUUCAUCAUUCGCAUACUCGUGACACCUUCAAGGAAUUAUUUUGGCCCUCGCAAUUAAUGCGAUUGGUUCAAUUAAACCCUUGAAUGAACAUUUUGUCCCUUUCGAUAUUUUUAUAAAUUUAGAUUUGCAUCCAUGUAGGAAACAUCCAAAUGUGAUAAAAUUAAGGGUUAGAUUAAGAAAAUUUUGAUUAAAUCUCGCAACUAGCUUAGAAUAGGUUGAAAGGGUGCCUUAGAUUUGAGUUAAUCGAAUCUUUGCCUUCCCUUUCUUCAACCGUGACUCCCGAAUCCAUUUUAUCUGUUUUUCAAAGACCUGGAGUUGUCGAAAAGGGUUAUUUAUUUAUUUAUUUUAUUUAAAUACUUUAUUUUUUGGGUGACUUGGUACACCAAAACUCCAUACCAAGUGGCGACUCCUAUUUUUUCUUAAAAACCCUUUUAGACUAAAUUUUGGACCCAAAUUGUCGCAUUCUUUUUAAGUUCCAUUUUAGGUCCUUUUUUAUUUAUUAUUAAUAAAUCACAUCUUUUUAUAAAACACUUUCUUUUCCAUCGCGAAAAAAUGGGGCGCGACAACUUGGCGACUCCACUGGGGACGUAAGAGAGUCCAAGCACUUGGUUUAGUCGUCUUUUCUCUUUUUAACCCUUAUAUUUAUCAUAUUUGGAUGUUUUAGGUUGCAUUUUUCUCUUUUAGGAUAUUUUGCAUUUCACCCUCGUAUUCGUUUAUCGUUCCUCGUAUAUGUGAUGAAUGAUUUAUUUAUUUAUUUUUGUUUAUUUACUUAUAUGUAUCGCGCUUUGCAUUUGGGGGUGGGGAAUAUUACUCUAGAGCCUCGCAUUGGUUCUCGAUCCCUCCCCUCCAAACCGAGCACUGGCAUACGUGCAUACGUUUUUUUUAAUCCCUUAUUUAUUUUUCUUUUAGUGGCUUGUCACGCCACUCUUCCCUGUUAGGAUUAGGCGACCCACUUGGACGUGUGAUCGCGACACGACGUGUGCGUAGCAUGAUCCGAGGGGUCACUCAAUCUUCCAUUUCAAGCUUUGGGUUGAUAGCCUUUAGCUUUUAGUUGAAGAUUGAGAAUUUUUGAUAGAUUCACUUGGACAUGUGGCCGUGGCACGACGUGCGCGUAGCAAUGUCUAGGGAAUCGCUCGAGCCACCGACAAAGAACCUUGGGGUUGAUGACCUUUGGUUUCCAAGUCUGAAGGCUCGGGGACUUAAAACCUAUUGAGUCUAGAUGCAUUAGUAAGCCAAUAUCUCAUGCAUCCAUGAUAGUUUACAUAGGGUAGAGUCUGCCUUACCCUAUUAGGGACACUAUUCACGAGGGGAGGGAUCCAAUCCCUCUUUUUCUUUUUAUUGUUUUAUCUCUGUGUAUUAUUUUGCUACAAUGUGUUAUGUGAAUUUAUCUGAUUGAACUAACUUUUCUUAGUUUUUGUCUCCACUGCAUUCACAAACCUUAGAAAUAAGAGUCCUGACGUGGUAUUCGUUAAGGCAGACCACCCUUUGUAAAUAGCACGUUUAAAUUUUAGUUUAUCGCAUUAAUACUAUGCAUGUCAUUCUAGGCUUACCCCGGCAUUUAAAUGGGGCACUUUUAGAUCAUAUGUCAAGUAUUUCAUUGCAUAUUUAACCGCUUUAAUAAACUGGCAUCAUACAUCAGCUUUAGAGGGAAUGCCGCAUAGGGGAUCCCGCGUUAGGAAUAAGCCACAUUUUGUCUCGGAUAUAUAAUCCAAUGAGACUUGCACGUUUAUAUUUUUUGUACCAUCCAAAGUGGUAGUGCACAAGGUAAGGUAGGAUUCGAUCCCUUUCGUGUGACGGCAUUGAGAAUGAUGGAACAGUUUUUACGCAUUAGAAUAUGAGCCUUUAAUAAUCACUUUUUGGCCAUUUUAUCAGAAUUGGUAAAAAUCCCUUGCGUAAAGGACAUUAAGUUGAAAAAAUUCACAAAAUUUCACAUUGUUGAGACGAUAAAUAUAAUUGAGGCCAAAUCUUGAUUUUAGAAUGCUCAUAGACUAAUGAAUCACAAUGAAUUUUUUGAAACUACCAAUGGGCAGACAAUUCCAUCGAUUUUGAUAAAUCAUCAAUUUCAUUCAUUCCAUUUUUACAUCUAAGAUGAUUGAAUCGAUUUUUUCAUAGAUCAUUCGAUCCUUACAAUUUUGCUCAUUUUUAAUUUCAUUUUCAUUCAAUUUCAUUUUAGAUAAAUCAUCAAUUUCAUUCUGUUCAUUUGGUCAGUGAUCCAGUCGAUUUUUGAAUAAACUGUCAAUUCUAUCCAAUCCAUUUGAUCAAUUUAUACAUUUCUAGGACAAUACAAUCAAUUUUGAGUUAAUCAUCAAUUUCAUUCAAUUCAUUAUUCUUUUAAUCAAUUUUAUUUAUUUAUUUUUUAUUUUUGAAUAAAUUUUCAAUUUCAUCCAAUCCAUUGGAUCAGUUUUAUUCACUUUCAGGAUAAUCCAGUCAAUUUUUGAACUAACCAUCAAUUUCAUUCGAUUCAUUUAACCUAUUUAUUCUCUUUUAAAGUUUCGAUCUAUAGUUCACCGAAGAAAUUAGUCGAGACAUUUCAAUCCUUUCAAAAGUAAGUUUUAUACACUAAAUUGAUUUUGAUAUCAUUUUAUGUGUCAAUCAAAGCAGUCAAUUCAUUCGGACUUUGUCCUCAUUUUGUUAGGACAAAUUGUCUCUUGUCACUCCAAUUAUCCAGUCUUUUCAAAAUUGUCUUUUCAUUGAAUGUCAAUAAGUCGAUCGGAUCCAUCAGGUAUUGUAUGGUGCCUAUCCCAGAGGAUUGCAUUUUUCAUACUAGGCCAACCCUUGGCAUAAAAGGGUUCCCCAUAGGACAUGCAUACCGAUUUUGCAGUUUUUGCUUACUAAUUCUGGUAUUUUGCUUUUAUUUUUUCCCCCUCCCCUGCAUUUAUAAAAGUUGUUUCAACAAGGUAAAAAUAUUUUUCCUAUAUCUGAUAAUAUUUUUGGUCUGAUAAAUUUUGAAAAUUACAAGUGUUACUUGAUUCUUGGGCAGAUCCUACAAUGUGUAAAAAAAAAUAUGAUGAAAAAAUGAAUGAAAAAUCCAUUUGAAAACGCUAGUGUAAAGUAUCUCAAAAAUCUUUUGAUUCAUUGUUUCUAAUAUAUUUUGUCUCAAAAGAUAGAAAGAGAAAGUGUGUAUAUAUUUGAAAAUGUAUUCUUUAGAGAUUUUUAUUUGCUCACAUGUAUUAUAUUUGACAAAAAAUUUUCAAACAUUUGAAUAAUAAAGUUUUUAUUUAGACAAUUAUUGUUUUGUAUAUAUUCAUUCUUUAUUUGCUCAUUAAGAGAUUUCAUGAUAGAUUUUAAGGAAUAAGGCUAAAUUGAAAUUUUUCGACUUCUUGUUCGAAAUUCAUGAGUGCAUGUCAAAUUCCCAAAAUUCUUUGCAUACACUAGAUUUGUGGCCUAAACUAUUCAAUGAGGAUAGUGGAAAUAAAAGGGGUCAUUCAAAUUUGAUAGCUUGUCAUAAAAGAUCAACCCCAACACUUUUCAUUUUCAUUUUUUGUCCACUUUUAUUGAACCUCCAAGAUCAGUCGCAUUGGCUGACUAGUUUCAAAGUGAGAUAAUUUUUUCCGUGAAAAUGUUCGGUGUGUCUAACCAGAUUCAAUCCACAUCUAAGUGAAAGCAAAAAUGUACGUUAAUUCUUAUUUUAUUUUGAAAAUUUGGAAUGAUACUUUAGACUUUCGUCUCUCUAUCUAUACAGAUUCUAUCAUUUAUUUCCCCAUUUGAGACUUCAAAAAAUAGAGUUUCGUUUCAAAUAAAAGCCUCAAUGAUCAUGACCCUCCACGGAAAAAUUUUCGAAUGUCAAAUGGAAAUGGGUUUUUCCAACGGGUUAUUCUUUACUUUGGUUGUCAUGAGAAAUAAGAAUGAUGUUUUGGCCAUCGUUUCUACCAUCUAAACACUCUUAUCCUUUGCAUCCUCAUUUGAACCUAAAUUGGUGGUUCGUUUCAAAAGCACUUAUGAUUGCACCCCCACACUGGGGAAGGAGAUUUCAAAAAGAAAAAAGAAGAAGAAGGGAGAAAAUGCUACAAUUGGGGGAAUUUGACUCUAACAUUGAUAUUUGGUCUUCAUUAUCAAAAAGAAAGAGGGGCCAUUACACUCCAAAUUAGGGAGUUUUCAAUUUUAUCAUUGGCAUUGGGAUAUCAUUAUUGGUAAAAAAAAUAUAAUAAUUAAUUAAAAAAGAAAAGAAAAAGAGAGAAAAGAAAAAUGUGAAAAAAUGAAAAAUGAUGAAAAUGAAAAAAAAGAAAAAUGUGAAGACAUCCAAUGUUGAAUUCCCUCUAGUGAUUGAUUAAAAAAAAAAAAGAGAGUCAAAAUGGGUCCCGGAUUUUAAAUCCAAAACUGGGGCAAAUUUUGGGAAGAAGUGCGAUCUUAAGUGCAUUGUCCUUGAAAAUUUUAUUUUUUUAGCUAUCGUUGUCAAGCCACAUUACAAGUUCAUAAAGUCCAUUGUUGACUUAUUUUUCAUGACAAUUUGAAGUGAAAAUAUUGUCUCUAAGGAAUCUACCAAUCACUCAUGAUCAUAAGCCAUAACCUGUUUUCAUAUGUUUAGCUAUCGUUUCUACCCAUAUAUUACAAGCCUAUACAGCUUAUAUGUUGACUGAGUUUUCUCAAAAAAUAAGAGUGAUAAGUUAUUUGCUUUCACCAAGAUGUGAUAUUGAAUGUGUUGGAUACAAUUUGGCACAAAAAAAAAAAAAAAGAAAGACAAUCCUGUCAUACCAUUCCCCUGAGCCAUCUCAAAAUCUGAAUAAUAUCCAUUUGAUUGGUCCUAAAAGAUGAGCUCAUAAGAAAAGUGAUCCUUUUCCCUCAACACCAAUCCCAAAACAAGGAAGAGAUCUUUUUCAAUUUGGUCUUAUUUUGAGGGAUUUAUCAUGGAAUCUUCUACAUGAGUUUGGAUAUGAUAUUUAAAUUCUUCAUUUGAAAAAUGUAGUUUCUAUUCACAUUGUAUGUGAUUAUUUUGCAACUAAAAUAAGCCCAAAUCGGGGCAAAUUUUUUUUGUAAUAUAUUGUGAGAUUUCACCAAAUAAGUUCAAAUUGAGGCAAAAUUUUAUAAUACAUUUGUAGGGUAUGUCCAAGAUCAAGUAUAUAUUUUUAAAAUCUUGAUAAGUCAAUACUUUGCAUGAAUCUUAAUUGUUACAUCAUUGCUCAAAAAAAAAAAACAAAAAAAAAAAAUUGAAAAUUCAAUUGCUUUGAAAAAUUCCCCUUAUGCAGGUGUUUAUGGUUGAGAUCGAGGAAAAGACGCAAUUCAAAACUUGCAAAUUUGGAGAUUAAUCAUGAAUAAAAUGGAGCAAUACUACUUGCAAAGUGGAGGAUCGGCUAUUUUUGCUCAAAAGGAGUACAUACUUCAGCAGCCAACUUGAAAAAAAAAAAAGAGAAAAAAAAGAAAAGGAAAAAAAUGGAAAAAAGAAAGGGGAAUGAAAAAAAGGAAAAGAAAAGAAAAUGAAAAAAAAGAAAAGGAAAAAAUGAAAAAAGAAAAGGGGAAUGAAAAAAAAAAGAGAGAGAAUAAUAAAAAUGAAAAAGGAAAAGAAGAAAAAAAAAGGGAUUGAAAAAAAAAGAGAAAAGAAAAAGAGAGUUUUUCCUUCGAUUUUGCAAAUUUUGCAAUUGAACACUGGGAGCAUUUCAUUGGAGAUUACAUUGCCAAGUUGGGGCAACAUCUUAUGCUUCGAAAUGAAAGUGGUAAUACAUGCCAAAACGAGAUCCCGUCCUUGCACAUUUUGACAAAGGCUCGGCAGAAGAAAUCAAAUGGAUUAAGGAGCACACUGAGUUGCUGUCUCUUAUUGAUGAAAAAGAGGUUGAAUGUUUGUCAUGGACAAUGCUAUCAUCAAAGGAUGGUUCGUUGGCUAUGACAAGAAAGAUAAAUCUCGCUUAUUUGAAAUGAGGGAUAAGUUUUGAAGUAAAUUCUUCCGAUUCAAGAGGAGGUUAAAGAAAAGUUUGCUCCAACUUAGCAAGAGUCAUUUAUUGUUCAAAGAGUGCUAUUCGGAGGAACGCCCAUUCUCAUAGAACUGGAUGGACAGGUCUUUCCUCUGCCAAUCAAUUCAGACAUGUGUAAUAAAUUCUUUAUCUGAUUAUGUGAUUUUUCUUUUGAAAUACCAUCUAUGGCGGAUUAAAGGCGAGCCUUCUUCUUUUCUCUUUGAACAUCUUACUCCUAGUUUUCCCCAUUGAACCUCUAGAAUAAUUUAACCCUUCAUUUGAUAGCCCUCCUAAAGAUUGCAAACCCCAUCCUGGGGUAAAUUUUUAUCUCCCAUUUGUCAAAAAAAAAAAAAGAUUCAAAAGCCAAACUGGGGCAAUUUUUUCGAUUUUAAUACCCUCAUACUGUGGCAAAUAUUGAUAGAAUGCGGUCUUAGGGUUUUUGAAACCUCUUUGAAGAUUUUGCUUUGAAGCCUUAACACUCUUUCUACACCCCACAUGACCCCAUCAUAAAAAUCAUAAAGUCUCGACCUCCGCUUUAGUGGUAUUUCUAAUAAAAAUCACUUAAUCAAAUGGCAAUUGAUGUCAGUACACCUUCACCAUUUUUACAUGGGAAGGGUUGUCGCGCUGAUGCCAUCCUUUCUUUAAAUACAUUUCUGAGUUGAUAAAUGUCGUUAACAAGAUUUGUUCAUUAGCGAAAACCUGAAAGGGUGUCUUCAAAAGAAUGAAAAAAAAAGAAAAAAAAAGAAAAAAAAGAGAAUGAUGAAAAGAAAAAAAAAGAAGAAAAUGAAAACAAAAUAAAAUAAAAAGGUGUGACCUUUGUGAAAAUCCGAAAGGUUGAGGUCAUCAAGGUGAGAUUUUGGAGCACAAGAGAAUCAUGAACGAAAAGCGGGUUGCUGACACUUGAGAUAGUUGCCACUCAUUCAAAUCUGGUCAUUAGAAAAGUUGAUUUGUGGUACAAAGUGAGGUAUGGCUGACUGAUGCUAGAAAAUUGAGAAGAUUCAAAAUAAGUUGCAGCACAACUCUUGAGGAGCAGUUUUGACAUCGAAGGAUCAUGCUUGCAUAGUUCUCAGGGCCAAAAGGAGCACAAGGAAUCACAUGGUAUUCGUAUCAUAUGAUCAUUCUUUUUGUUUUUUCGAAAGCAUGAAAAAUGUGGCAUUCGUUAAACAUGAUUUACACUGGGGCAAAUAUCAAGAGGAAUGAGCUCCAAUUUUGGUAAUGCAUUUUAAAUCGGCUUUUGUGAAAAAAAAAAAAAGUCUUUUAAAAUCGAGAGGACAGUGACAUAUGUAUGUACCUCUCAAAUCUCUUGAAAUGAGAGUUGUCAUUGGUAUUCUUCAAGUUUUAGAAUUUGUCACCUUUUUUUUUUUUCAAAAAAAAAAAACAAAAAAAAAUGUGUGUGUGCUUCUUUCAUUUGAAAAAAAAGAAAAAAAAAGAAAAAGAUUACAAAUCCACCAACUUGAGCCACAAUGUCAAAAUGCAAAGCAGAUGAUUGGUUGAACAAAAUUGAUUCAAAUUGAGUCAAUUUCUGAAAUGAUUUUUCAGGUAAGUAUUCAAGAACUUUUUCAUGCAAUAACGUGUGUCAUGUCUUUUAUCACCGUUAGCAUCGAGUAUUGACUCACUAGCGUGUGUUUUGCUUUUCAUAUCCGUUAGUAUCGGGUCCAACCCACUAACGUGUCUUUUAUCACCGUUAGUAUCGAGUAUUGACUCACUAACGUGUGUUAUUUUUUUUCACAUCCGUUAGCAUCGGGUUCAACCCACUAACGUGUCUUUUGUAUAUCAUGUUGGGAUUCGGCAGGUUUGGGUUUUAUCCCACUGACCGUUUUUAUUGUCGUUGGGCAUGGGUUUUAUCCCUCCAACCUCGGCAGGCUCGGGUUUUAUCCCACUGACCGUUUUUAUUGUCGUUGGCAUGGAUUUUAUCCCUCCAACCUGCCCUCCAACCUCGGCAGGCUCGGAUUUUAUCCCACAAUCUCGGCAGGCUCGGGUUUUAUCCCACUGACCGUUUUUAUUUUCGUUGGGCAUCGGUUGUAUCCCUCCAUCGCGGCAGGCUCGGGUUUUAUCCCACUGACCAUUUUUAUUUUCGUUGGGCAUGGGUUUUAUCCUUCCAACCUCGACAGGCUCGGGUUUUAUCCCACUGACCGUUUUUUAUUGUCGUUGGGCAUGGGUUGUAUCCCUCCAACCUUGGCAGGCUCGGGUUUUAUCCCACUGACCGUUUUUAUUGUCGUUGGGCAUGGGUUGUAUCUCUCCAACCUCGGCAGGCUCGGGUUUUAUCCCACUGACCGUUUUUUAUUGUCGUUGGGCAUGGGUUGUAUGCCUUCAACCUCGGCAGGCUCGGGUUUUAUCCCACUGACCGUUUUUAUUUUCGUUGGGCAUGGGUUUUAUCCUCCCCUCGGCAGGCUCGGGUUUUAUCCCACUGACCGUUUUUAUUUUCGUUGGGCAUGGUUUUAUCCCUCCAACCUCGUUGGGCAUGGGUUUUAUCCCUCCAACCUCGGCAGGCUCGGAUUUUAUCCCACUGAUCGUUUUAUUUCAUUGGGCAUGGGUUUAUCCCUCCAACCUUGGCAGGCUCGGGUUUUAUCCCACUGACCGUUUUUAUUUCGGUGGGCAUGGGUUUUAUCCCUCCAACCUCGUUGGGCAUGGGUUUUAUCCCUCCAAUCUCGGCAGGCUCGGGUUUUAUCCCACUGACCGUUUUAUUUCAUUGGGCAUGGGUCUUAUCCCUCCAACCUUGGCAGGCUCGGGUUUUAUCCCACUGACCGUUUUUAUUUCAGUGGGCAUGGGUUUUAUCCCUCCAACCUCGUUGGGCAUGGGUUUUAUCCUUCCAACCUCGGCAGGCUCCGGGUUUUAUCCCACUGACCGUUUAUUUCAUUGGGCAUGGGUUUUAUCCCUCCAACCUUGGCAGGCUCGGGUUUUAUCCCACUGACGAUUUUUAUUUUCGGGGCAUGGGUUUUAUCCCUCCAACCUCGGCAGGCUCGGGUUUUAUCCCACUGACCGUUUUAUUUUCAUUGGGCAUGGGUUUUAUCCCUCCACCUCGGUAGACUCGGGUUUUAUCCCACUGACCAUUUUUAUUUUCGUUGGGCAUGGGUUUUUAUCCCUCCAACCUUGGCAGGCUCGGGUUUUAUCCCACUGACCGUUUUUAUUGUCGUUGGGCAUGGGUUUUAUCCCUCCAACCUCGGCAGGCUCAGGUCGUAUCCCACUGACCGUUUUUCAUGAUUAUUUGAUUAAUGAUAGUGCUUUAUCAUUCAUUUUGUAUUUCAUGUUUAGAAGUUUUGAGAGUUCAAACUUUUCUGAUUUUUUCAAAAUCACAGAUGGUCAAUGCACUUGUUUCAUUGUGAUUCACUUAAUUCGAACUACGUUUGACCUGAUUCCCAUGGUGGGAUACGUAGGCAACUCUACAUGGGUUCGGUCACAUUUUCUGCAAUGUUAUUGCAUCAUUUUGUCCAAUAAUUUCAGCCAAGUGUUGGCUUGUUUAUUUUAGCUCAGGUACAGCUAGAAGUGACAGGUAAGCAAUUUGGUGUCUACGUCUUUGUCUUGAGUUUCUUUGAAACUCUAGACAAAGAGGGCAAGCUGUAGACACCAAAUUUUUGUCAAUUUUUAAUAUUUUCUCAAGAUUUUUCUAUUUAAUGAAUUAUUUAUUUUCUAGCAUUUUAAUGUGCAUUUUCUCAUUUUUGCAGGUUUGCUUGAAAAAAAAGAAAAAAAAGAGAAAAAAAAGAAACAAACAAACAAAAAAAAAAAAACAAAACAACAAACAACAAAAAGAAAACAAAAAAAAAUCAUCAUAAUCAUUUUCUCUACCAAAAUACAUUUAACCCAUUUCACACUCAAUGGCCAUGGACUGGUCUUUUCAUUAGUUGAGAGAUCAUCAUUUUGGAAGAUUGAGCACACAAACUCCAUUUUGGCUACAAGUAUCUCUCGGCUCUCUUUGGCUGCCAGGGGACAGACACAAAAAAAAAACACUCCAGCUCUCAAUAUCGACUCUCUGGCCUCUCUCAGACGGACAUAACAAGAAGAAAAAAAAACACUCCACUCUUUGUGAACUCAAAAAAAAGGAAAAAAACUCUCGGCUCUCUCGGCUCUUUCUUUUUUUAACACACUCCACAAAUCAAACAAGAAGGGGGGGAACUAGCGGUCAGGCCAUUGAAGUUAGGAAUUUCCCCACAAAGCUCAAACGAGUGACUGCAAUAUUCUGGAGGUAGUUUCUUUCUCGUUUUUUUUUAGUUUUGUUUUUCACCGUACACUCAUAUUUUGUUGCUUAUUUUCUCCUGUUUGGUUGCCUUUCAGUGUUGUUGUUCUGUUUGUUAAAAUUUUGGGAAAUGGCAUGAGCCAGUUUUAGGAAAAGGAAAUGUUUAUUAUGUAUGCAUAUUAACUGUUUGGUAAAAUGCCGAAAACGGAAAAAUGGAAAAAGCUGAACAUUGUGCAUGUUGUUGUCAAAACGGAUGACCGUUAGCUAGCACCAAUAUCUGAAAAUGUUGGGUUAUUUAAGUAUUUUGAAGUUUUGAGCCUUUAUAGGCAUUGAAAUAUUUUCUUUAUUUUUGGGGCUGUUUGGUGGGUGUCAAACCUCCAAAAAUAAAGUUAAAAAUAACAGCCUAAUUGCCAACCAACACAAUCUCAAAUUUUAUUCGUAAACAGGGCAAGUAGGGUCGUCUCCUCAGGGAACUGGUAGGCAAAUCACACAGGAAAAUGGGGGGGAAUUUUUAGCAAUAGUAUCAACUAAUUAAAAAGGAAUAAAAACUGAAAUUCAAAGUUGAGUAAGAUAGCGAGAACCAAAUUACACAAAUAAUAAUUAAUUAAAACAAUCUAGUCAAGGAAUUAAUCUUGGAAUCCAAGCACACAACUGAUCACAGAUACAAGGGACAAUUCAUAUACUCACGAAUAAACUGGUUAUAGUGGUCAAGCGAUGCGCCCAACCACCAAUCUUUUCUUAAUUUUAUGGUAGUCAAGAGACGCUCAUAAACUACCCUCUUGUGACUAGACAACCCCAGAAACGCUCACAAGAUUUAAUGUAGCCACAGUAUUAGGAAUUAGAAAGACCCAAUUCUAAAUGACAAACACACAUGCGGAUUUGUUUAGGCUAGAUUAAUUAUCCCCACGAUCCAAAUUAGACCGCUUGCGAGGCGGUGCAAUUGUCUCGUUUGCCACUAAUCAAGAUGCUUAAAGGCGACGCGCCAACAUCCUAAUUGGCUAUCAAUUAUUUAGACAAUCGAAUAACAGGUCUAAUUAUCCAAUAAAUCUAAACAAUAAUAACUCAGGGAAAAAAUAGAGAAUAAUCAAAUACCCAUGAACAUAUAAAUUAAAAAUAAGCAAUUAAAACGAUCUCACAGUUAUGGUGCCCCGAUCCUCGAUUUAUUCCUCAACUAGAUAAACGAUCUAGUCUUGCCGCAUAGUCAUGACAACAAAGUCAAUCAAAGUUUUCAUGGAGUUUUGUUAAUUGAAGAAGGAGUAAAAGAUUUUUCGCCGCUAGUCUCCUAACAAAGAAGAAAACAAAAGUAGAGAAAAAGUCCAAGUCCAAGAUCCAUCCCUAGUCUAUUGCUGUCUUCUUUUUAUUGUUUGCGCCGCCGUUUCCUUUUUGCUAGCCGAAAUAAUAUGUGGGUUUAUUCAAACAAUUUGCUUCCUUUUCCCCCAUUGGAUUGUUACCAAAAGUCAUCUUCCAAUUCUAUUUCCUAAUCCCACGUAAGUUUAAAGUAUGGCUCCAAGGAAAGGCGGUGGCCCCAGGAAUAGGACCCGCAAUCCGGAUUUUUCACGCAACUCUGCGUUGUCUGGCGUGGGCACGCCAGAGAAGGCGCAGUCUUCUGGAAUUUGCCCUUUUUUAUCACUUUUAACACCAAUUGCCUAUAAGUAACACAAAUACCCAUUAUGAGCAGAAAUCCAAUACUUUGCAUAAUAAACUGCCACAAUUAAGACCAAAUAACCACAAAUAAAAUGCAUAAUUAUAUCCCUAUCAAAUUCCCCCACACCAAGACAAUGCUUGUCCUCAAGCAUUUCAAACUUUAAAUACACAACCCAGCGAGCAAACAUUUUUGCAGCAGUUGAAUUCAAAACAAUGGCUAUUAAUCAAAGCAACUAUUGCCAAUGUAUGAUUUAGAUAACUGUCAAGUACUGAUGACAAAUUUUACGAGAUAACUCUCCAACUAGCUUUUAAAACCAAUGACUCUUUCAAAUCCAGACUAACUAAUCUAAGAAUAGAAAAUAUCCAACCAACAUUCUUUAAUAACUGGUCCAACUAUUAAGCAAAAUCUCAACAUAAAGACUCAUGGAUCCGCAGGCAAUACAAUUAUUCACAUACUUUCAUGCUCGUAUACUUUUUUUUUUUUUCAUCAUUUUCAUUUUUUUUUCUGUUUCUUUUUCCUUUUUUUUUUCUUGAAGGAAGUGCUUAGUCUUGAGCCAUUCAAGUCUUUUGACGCGAACUCCGACAUCUCUCCAAUGAAGGAGUCCGGUUACUCAACUUUAACCGCUUAAAGACCACAUAGUCAUAGUUAUCGCUGCUUUUUGACGCGAAAAUCGACACUUUAGGUGAAGACCCCCAGUUACUAGUCAAUGAUAACCAGCGGAGUAUAGCCGAAUAUUAUUCACAAAAAAACACCCAAGUAAAAUUAAAACCAUGCAAGCCUGCUUCAUUUCCUUAACAUGGAGAACUAAGAUUAAUAGUUGAACCAAUUCACACAAAAAAUGUCAGAAAAAUAUUUACAAUGCCUAGAAAAGUUAACCAAAAGAAAUUGCAAGAGUCACAAAAUCUCAAAUAUUUACCAGAGAGUCAUCUUAAAAUUUUACCAUAUCAUACUUAACAUAUUAUCAUCUAAAACCGUAACAAUAGUUAAAUUUGAAAAUUUAGCCAUUGCUUAUCAGGGCUAACCACAAAAAUCCAAAAGGCAUGGUAAAGGUUUCUUCUUUUUUUUUUUUUUUUGGCAGAAGGAAAAGCAGUAAGAAGGAAAAGCUAGACUACUCCCCCCACACCUAAAGUCUACAUUGUCCUCAAUGUAAGAACGAAAAGUUGAAGUCAAGUGAAGGGGGCAAAAAACUUCCCUGAAUGAAUAAAAACUGCAGCAAAACACCAUGGUAGAGGAGGUGUCAGGGACUGGCAGCGUGGAACCUCCGACGGUAGUGUGGUGUAGCGUUGUUUCAGAUGGAAGCGGAAGUCUUCAAUCCAAGCCCGUGUCCCCAGAGUUGACUAGAGUUGCUGUAAGGAGUGACCACGCCUUAUAAGGCAGAGUCUUCUGCCCAAACAUUUCUACGGUGUUCAAGAGCAUCACUUAUAGGGCGUGGGCAUGCCUUGUAAAUCCAAGUCUCCUGCCCAACACCAAAAAAAACACUUGCAAUGAAACAAAACAACCCAAAAUCAACGAAAAAUGAAAGAGAACUAUAACAAAAAAAUGGAGGCCUUGGGUUGCCUCCCAAGAAGCGCCUUUCUUUAACGUCUUUGGCUAGACGACUCCACAGUGAGCAAUUAGGCAUAGAUAGGAUCUAUCAAGUGUACCUCUUCCAAAGUGCCAAUGUCUGAAACAUCAACAAACGGUUUUAAACGAUGACCAUUAACCGUAAAACUCUUAUUAGUCUCUAAACUCUGGAUUUCAACCACACCAUUGGGAAAAACAUUGACUACCACAUAUGGUCCAAUCCAACGAGAUUUUAACUUACUUGGCAUGAAUUUCAACUGUGAAUUGAACAAGAGUACCUUUGGUCCUGGAGAAAAGUGUUUCGCACGCAAUAGGCGGUCAUGAAACUGCUUGGUACGCUCUUUGUACAAACGUGCAUUAUCAUAUGCUUCAAGACGAAUUUCCUCCAACUCCUGGAGUUGGAGUUUUCUCUCUUUACCAUAUCUAUCCGCAUGCAAAUUGCAUUGCUUGACUGCCCAGAAUGCACGAUGCUCAAUAGCCACAGGUAAAUGACACAUCUUACCAAACACCAACUUAUAUGGGGACAUUCCAAUGGGCGUUUUAUACUCCGUUCGAUAUGCCCACAAAGCAUCAUCCAAUCGCAAGCUCCAAUCCUUACGGUUGGGGUUAACCGUUUUCUCCAAUAUGCUCUUGAUCUCUCGAUUGGAGAUUUCAGCUUGCCCAUUGGUCUGAGAAUGAUAUGUUGUACUCACACGAUGGUGCACUCCAUAUUUUCUCAUGAGAGCUGCAAUGGUGCGAUUGCAGAAAUGGGUACCUUGAUCACUGAUGAUGGCUCUCGGCACCCCGAACCUACUAAAAAUGUGGGAUUUGAGAAAUUCUACAACAAUUUGAGAAUCAUUAGUCCGGGUAGCCUUUGCUUCUACCCAUUUCGAGACAUAGUCAACUGCUAACAGAAUAUACAAAAAUCCAAAAGAGUUAGGAAAAGGUCCCAUAAAGUCCAUACCCCAAACGUCAAAUACUUCACAAAAUAACAUAGAUACUUGAGACAUUUCAUCCCUAUGAGACAAACUUCCAAAAUUUUGACAUUUUUCACAGCUUUUACAAAAUGCAUAAGCAUCACGAAACAAUGUUUCCCAAUAAAAGCCACAAUCAAGGAUUUUUCUAGCAGUUCUCUUAGGUCCAAAAUGGCCACCACAUGCAAAAUUAUGACAAUGAGCAAGGAUAGAAGGAAUUUCACUUUCAGGUACACAUCUACGAAUAAUUUGAUCAGAGCCUAUUUUCCAUAGAUAUGGCUCGUCCCAAAUGUAGUAUCGAGUAUCAUGGACUAUCUUAUCCCUCUUACUCUUACUCAUGCCAAUAGGAAAUUUAUGACUGACCAAAAAGUUCACAAUAUCUGCAUACCAAGGUUCCUUACAUUUGAGAUAGAAAAGAUGUUCAUCAGGAAAUACCUCAGAUAUGGGAACUGCUUCCUCUUCUCUUAUCAAUCUACUCAAAUGGUCAGCUACUGAAUUAUCCACCCCUCUCCGAUCCUUGAUCUCCCAGUCAAAUUCUUGUAGUAAGAGCACCCAACGAAUGAGUCUUGGCUUGGACUCCUUUUUUGACAGGAGAUACUUCAAAACUGCAUGAUCAGAGUAAACCGUUACUUUUGACCCCAAUAGAUAUGAUCUAAAUUUCUCAAAAACGAAAACAAUAGCUAGAAGCUCUUUCUCCGUGGUGGUGUAGUUGCAUUGAGUUGGUGUCAAUGUUUUUGAUGCAUAGUAUAUCACGUGACUACACCUCCCACUCUGUUGUCCAAGCACAGCUCCUACGGCAUACUGACUGGCGUCACACAUGAGCUCAAAGGAUAGCUUCCAGUCUAGGGGUUGGAUGAUUGGUGCCGUGGUCAACAUUCCCUUGAGCGUGUCAAAGGACAAUUUGCAAUCAUCUCCAAAGUUGAAUGGCACCUCCUUUUGAAGCAGGCGAGACAAUGGUUGAGCAAUUUUUGAAAAAUCUUUUAUGAAACGCCUGUAAAAACCUACAUGGCCUAGAAAACUACGAAUAUCCUUGACAUUAAUAGGGUAAGGUAGACUAGUGAUCAAAUCAAUUUGAGCCUUAUCUAUCUCAAUACCCCUUGAUGAAACAACAUGGCCCAAAACUAUGCCUUCCUUAACCAUGAAAUGACAUUUUUCAUAAUUAAGAACCAAGUUUGUUUCAAUGCAUCUUUUCAAAACUUUUGUUAAAUGGUCUAGGCACUGAUUAAAAGAAUCACCAUAUACUGUAAAAUCAUCCAUGAAAAUUUCAAUGCAAUUAUCAAUCAUAUCAGAGAAAAUACUCAUCAUGCAUCUUUGAAAUGUUCCAAAGCAUUACACAAACCAAAAGGCAUACGGCGAUAUGCAAAAGUUUCAAAAGGGCAAGUAAAAGUGAUUUUAUGUUGGUCCUCUUGAGCAACAAUAAUUUGAUAAUAUCCAGAGUAACCAUCUGAAAAGCAAAAGAAACACUUACCUGCCAACCUCUCAAGCAUUUCAUCAAUAAAUGGGAGUGGAAAGUGGUCUUUCCUAGUUGCGACAUUUAACUUUCUAAAGUCAAUGCACAUUCUCCACCCAUUUUGCAAUCUCAUUGGCACUAAUUCAUUCUUUUCAUUUUUCACCAAUGUGAUUCCAGUCUUCUUGGGAACAACAUGGACUGGACUUACCCACUGGCUGUCAGAGAUAGGAAAAAUAAUUCCUAAUUCUAAGAGUUUGAGAAUCUCUUUCAUCACCACCUCCUUCAUUGCGGGAUUGAGCUUGCGUUGAUGCUCUCUCACGGGUUUUGCGUCCGACUCCAAAAGGAUGUGAUGCAUGCAAAUGGAUGGAUUGAUGCCUUUGAUGUCUGCUAAUGUCCAUCCAAUUGCUGGUUUAAAUUCCCGUAAGACCCGUAAGAGCCUCUCUUCUUGCAACGCAGUUAAAUCAUUAGCAAUGAUUACAGGCAAAGUCUUGUUAUCUCCCAAGUAAGUAUAUUUCAAAUGCUCGGGCAGUUCUUUCAAUUCCACAUUAGGUGCCUGUUGAACAGAAGGUAGAAUUCUUUCAUUAGAAGUGGGUAAUGGUAGAAAAGAAUUUUCAAACCUGCCUGGAAGCGGAUGUAGUGAAUGUAAGGACAUGAUAGCUUCUUUGACCUCCUCCUCCUCCAUGUCGUCCACUUCCAAAUUGGUCUUGCCUUGUUGUAAGACAAAGUCCAACUUGUUCCCCAUGAAAUUUUGUUCAAAAUUCUCUUGCACAAUGGUAUUAGCCAUGCAAACAAAAUUUACAGACUUAGUAUCCACAGGAUGCUUCAUUGCAUCAAAAAUAUUGAAAGUGACCUUCUCUCCAUCAAAUUCCACAGAUAAAGUUCCUUCAUGUACAUCUAUUUUAGUCCUUGCUGUACUCAUGAAGGGUCUACCCAAAAGAAUCACUGCUGAAUUAGUAGAGUAUUCAUCAUUCAUAUCAACAAUGUAAAAAUUCACAGGAAAAAUGAAUUCAUUGACCUUUACUAGAACAUCUUCAACCAGACCCUCAGGGUAGACAAUAGACCUAUCUGCUAGUUGAAUGAUUACCCUAAUUUCUUUGAGGGGUCCUAAAUUCAAAACUUUAAAAAUUGAAAGAGGCAUGACAUUUAUUGAAGCACCUAAGUCAAGCAUGCUUUUUUCAAUUCUUUGAUUGCCAAUUAUGCAUGGUAUAGUAAACAUACCUGGAUCCUUGCAUUUCUGGGGCAACUUCCUUUGAAACAUCGCUGAGACAUUCUCCCCCACUUUCACCUUGUCAUCCAAACUCAACUUAUUGCGAUUAGUGCAUAAACCCUUCAAAAAUUUAGCAUAUUUAGGCAAUUGCCUAAUAGCAUCCAGCAGAGGAAUAUUGAUCUCCACUUUCCUGAAGGUGUCCAAAAUCUCUUUCUCAGAUUCUUCCUUUUUAGCUUUUGUGAACCUGCUAGGAAAAUGAGGAGGAAUGUCAACUUUCUUUGAGAUUUCAGAUGAUUGUUUCUCUUCUUCCUCUUCCACCUUCCUGGGCACUUCUUCUUCUCUGGCGUGGGCACGUCUAGGAGACUGUACCUCCUUGCCACUCCGUAAUUGCAUUGCACUGGUAUUCUCCUUGGGAUUAGGAAUUACUUGAGAUGGUAACUUCCCUCUAUUGCUAUUUUCCAGGUUGCUCAUGGAAGUUGCCAAUUGGGACAUUUGUGCUUCCAAAUUCCUAAUGCUAGCACGAGUCUCUUGUUGAAAUUUGUGAGACUCUUGUUGAGAUCUUUGAGCCUCUUGCUGUAAUUGACUCGUGUUUUGGGCCAGUGACUUCACCAUAUCUUCAAGAGACAUGUUUGAAUUGGAAGUGGACGGUUGUUGCACUGGUGGUCGUGGUUGGACAUGUUGUUGAAAACCAGGGGGUUUUGAAGCAUAGCUAAAGUUAGGAUGAUUUCGCCACCCUGGGUUGUAAUUGGGUGCAAAAGGAUCAUUCCUUCGUGGAGGUGGUCCAGAAAAAUCUCCCACUAUGUUGGCUUGUUCAGGUGAAUCCUCCUGGAGAGUUGGGCACAUGUCAAUCAUGUGUCCGGGAGUAGCAUAGAUACCACAAGUCUUCACAGAUUGUAAUUGCCCCCUUGCCAUUUGACGCACCAGAGAGGUAAGCUCAGAUAGUUUACCCUCUAAGUCAGAGUGAUUCACUUCAUUGACCCUUCUUAUUGCUCCAUCAGCUCUCACUCCAAAUUGUUGGGAAUUUUCAGCCAUGGUGGAGAUCAAUAACGUGGCUUCGUCUGUGGUCUUGUUCACCAGAGCACCGCCACUGGCUACAUCUAACAUGCUCCUAUCCAUGGGUGAUAAUCCCUCGUAGAAAUAUUGUAUUAAGAGCUGGUCCGGGAUUUGAUGAUGUGGGCAACUGGCACACAGUUGUUUAAAGCACUCCCAGUACUCAUAUAGAGUUUCCCCAUUCGCCUGCCUAACUCCACAUAUUUCUUUCCUUAUAUUGGCGGCUCUAGAGGCAGGAAAAAAUUUCUCGAGGAAUUUUCUCUUCAAUUCUUCCCACGUAGUAAUGAAUCCUGAUGGCAGGUAAAAUAACCAAUCUUUAGCCUUAUCUGCCAAAGAGAAAGGGAAGGCUCUUAACUUGAUGUGGUCCUCAGUGACUCCUUGAGGUCUCAUUGUGGAGCACACCACAUGAAAUUCUUUCAAGUGUUUAUGUGGGUCUUCACCUGCAAUACCACGAAAAGUAGGAAGUAAGUGAAUAAGACCAGACUUAAGCUCAAAUGCCUCUUCCGUGUUAGGAAAUGUAAUGCAUAAUGGCUGUUGGUUCACGUUAGGAGUUGCCAACUCCCUCAAAGUUUUUGGGGCUACCAUUGCUACUCGGGGAAUAUGCACUUUGUUUUCUUCAGAUUCGUUUGAUGAAUCACUGGAAAUAAACUCUUGCUCAGAUUCUGAAGGUGACGUUGAAUCUUGUUGCUUACGCAACUUUGCCUCCUUAGUCAACCUUCUUGCAGUCUUCUCGAUCUCUGGAUCAAAUUCUAAUUCUCCUGUACGAGAAGAUCGAGGCAUAAAAUAAAAAAGAACAAAUAAAUAAAAAUAAAAACUAAAACCUGUGCAAUAAGUCAAUUAAAACACCGGUUCCCCGACAACGGCACCAAAAUUUGGUGAUGGUCAAACCUCCAAAAAUAAAGUUAAAAAUAACAGCUUAAUUGCCAACCAACACAAUCUCAAAUUUAAUUUGUAAACAGGGCAAGUAGGGUCGUCUCCGCAGGGAACUGGUAGGCAAAUCACACAGGAAAAAGGGGGGAAUUUUUAGCAAUAGUAUCAACUAAUUAAAAAGGAAUAAAAACUGAAAUUCAAAGUUGAGUAAGAUAGCGGGAACCAAAUUACACAAAUAACAAUUAAUUAAAAUAACCUAGUCAAGGAAUUAAUCUUGGGAUCCAAGCUCACAACUGAUCACAAAUACAAGGGACAAUUCAUAUAAUCACGAAUAAACUGGUUAAAGUGGUCAAGCGACGCGCCCAACCACCAAUCUUUCCUUAAUUUUAUGGUAGUCAAGAGACGCUCAUAAACUACCCUCUUGUGACUAGACAACCCCAGAAACGCUCACAAGAUUUAAUGUAGCCACAGCAUUAGGAAUUAGAAAGACCCAAUUCUAGAUGACAAACACACAUGCGAAUUUGUUUAGGCUAGAUUAAUUAUCCCCAUGAUCCAAAUUAGACCGCUUGCGAGGCGGUGCAAUUGUCUCGUUUGCCACUAAUCAAUAUGCUUAAAGGCGACGCGCCAACAUCCUAAUUGGCUAUCAAUUAUUUAGACAAUCGAAUAACAGGCCUAAUUAUCCAAUAAAUCUAAACAAUAAUAACUCAGGGAAAAAUAGAGAAUAAUCAAAUACCCAUGAACAUAUAAAUUAAAAAUAAGCAAUUAAAACGAUCUCACAGUUAUGGUGCCCCGAUCCUCGAUUUAUUCCUCAACUAGAUAAACGAUCUAGCCUUGCCGCAUAGUCAUGACAACAAAGCCAAUCAAAGUUUUCAUGGAGUUUUGUUAAUUGAAGGAGUAAAAGAUUUUUCCCCGCUAGUCUCCUAACAACGAAGAAAACAAAAGCAGAGAAAAAGUCCAAGUCCCAGAUCCAUCCCUAGUCUAUUGUUGUCUUCUUUUUAUUGUUUGCGCCGCCGUUUCCUUUUUGCUAGCCGAAAUAAUAGGUGGGUUUCUUCAAACAAUUUGCUUCCUUUUCCCCCAUUGGAUUGUUACCAAAAGUCAUCUUCCAAUUCUAUUUCCUAAUCCCACGUAAGUUUAAAGUAUGGCUCCAAGGAAAGGCGGUGGCCCCAGGAAUAGGACCCGCAAUCCGGCUUUUUCACGCAACUCUGCGUUGUUUGGCGUGGGCACGCCGGAGAAGGCGCAGUCUUCUGGAAUUUGCCCUUUUUAUCACUUUUAACACCAAUUGCCUAUAAGUAACACAAAAUACCCAUUAUGAGCAGAAAUCCAAUACUUUGCAUAAUAAACUGCCAAAAUUAAGACCAAAUAACCACAAAUAAAAUGCAUAAUUAUAUCCCUAUCAGUAGAUUAAGUGGUCACCAAACAAGACAAGAUGAACACUUUUUUACCUCAAGAUCAGUUGCACCAUCUCCAAUCAUGACCAGCAAUUUAUAUCCAUUAGCCUGAAAACAUUAUCAAGUAUUUGGUCAAUAUUCUAAAAAUCAAUACACAACAAACAACUACUAAGAGUUCAACUUACCUUCUUUAUCUGCUGAACAGCAAUAGCUUUUCUUCCACGCCUAGACUUUGGCUCAUUUGGAUCAAGCCCCAAAAACUCUUCAGCACUUCCAAAAAGAAGUUGAUUGGCAAAAGUGUGGUCAACAGGAAUAGAUUUACCAAGUUUGAGGUCUAAAUCUUUAUGUCUUGCUAUUACUGUAUGCAGACUUUAGAUAAAGUCAGUUAUUGGAUUCUAGAUAUUGGACCAUGUUAAACUCAAGUUAACAUGUAGUAAAAAAAGGUACCCCACGCUUUUUUUAUGUCUCAAAAAAAGGUACUCUAAAAAAAGUACUUUUUAAAGUACUUUUUAAAAAUUUUUAUAAUUUUUGAAAAACUAAUUUUUGAAAAAUUUGUGGAUCCAAACAGUGCCGCUCAACUGCAAAAUGACAAAAAUAAAAAAAUAAAAUAAAAUCUAUUUUAGAUCUAGUGAUCAACUAAAAUUCAAGCAGCGUCGUUUUUUCAUAGUAAAUUUUUCAUAGGUGUAACUAUAUAAUAGGAAAAAACUGAAUUACGACAUCGUUUUCUGAAGUUUUUUUUUUUUUUAAUUUGUAGAGGGCAGCUGGGGAUGGGGCGGAGGGGGCCUGGGGUUGUGAUUUCGAUUUCCGGCAUAAUUUCAAAAAGGGAGGAAAAUCAAGAAUGCUACCAGACUCUCUAACAACCUCCUUGUUAUUUUCCAGUUGAACUCCUUUGAAAAUUUCUCAUGAAUUUCAGGAUCACAUAACAUGGAGUAGCAGCACUUGCUAAGAGGUUGAGAUUGGCUAAAACAUUCGUUUCCUCAUCUCACCUACCUUAUCUUCUGGUUGGCAUUCUUAUUCCUUUCCCUCUAUCCCAUCUUUUCAAGCAUCUAUCUGUACUGAACUGAUACAUUAAUUUGUUUUCCUCAUUCGACCAAUCAAUUAUUUUCAUUAAUUACUUUUUUCUUUUCAUGCCCUGAAAUCGGGCGCAACUGUACCUAUCCUUUGGUAUCCUCACUCAUUACUGUUUCAGCAAAUCUUUAGUAGGUUGGCCUUUGUUUUCCAAUUUUUCUUUGUUUGCUUGCUACAUAUAUGAUGCUUAUAUUGGUUUGGCUUCAGAUCUUUCAGUAAAAGUAUAGAGAUUUGAUUUAAUUGUCUUUGACUGCAAUUUCUGAUCUUACUUCAUAGAAGUUAUUUGGUUAUUUUUGGUUGGUUAUUGAAUGAUUGAAGGCCUAUCUAUCAUCUAAGAGUGGUCGGAAGUUAAAUUUAUAUGCCAUCUGUAUUAAAACUUAUAGUAUUGAUUCUUGUAGCCACCUGUACAAGUUCAUGUGGAAAUGGAGUUUCCUUCAUUUCCUUAAAGCUCGCGUUUUGCUACAUUUUGGAUUUGAUCCACAUCCCUUCUUUACGCUUUUUGUUGCAACACUUCACUAAAUACUAAUGGUUAUUGUGUUUAGUUGAAUUUUAAUGCAAAUUGUUGAUGAAUUUUAUGAUUGCCGGUAUGGAUUUUUGGCAUUGAAAAUGAUAUAACAUGUUCUUAUUUUUUGUUACAAUCAGGGAGCUUUGAUGGAGGGAUUAAUUAGUGCACAAUUGAACCCAAUUCGCACCUAUUCUACACAAGAAAGUUCUGUUUUUUUUCCCUACAUUUUCUCUGAGGAUAAAGACAAUUGGCUUUGGUAAUAAAUUUGUGGCAAUGAAAAAUCUUAAAUCAAUGCUUCAGUUCAGCCAUUGGAGGCCUCAAAAGAGGGCCAGUUCAACAAAGCAUUGCUAUCAAAAGGUAAUUUCAAGGUCUGAGAAAAACUUUAUUUCUUGUAUGUAAUGUAUAAAAUAUGAUGACAAAUUAGAUUUAAUAGUAUGUACGAAUGAAGACAAUGAUGAGUUUUAAUUGGUGAUAUGCAUCCUUUAAAUUUGUAAGAGGUCCUUGAGGUGUGGUGCAAUGCUGAUGUUGUAUGCUUUGACGUGGAUAGUACAGUAUGCCUAGAUGAGGGCAUUGAUGAACUUGUUGAGUUUUGCGGUGCUGGAAAGGCUGUUGCAGAAUGGACUGCUAGGUGAUAUGCCUUCGAUAGACAUUUUUUUAGAUGUGCAUAGAAUUGAGUGUUUGAUCUGAUUAUGUGCUCAUCACUAGGGCAAUGAGUGGAUCUAUUCCUUUUGAGGAUGCCUUGGCUGCAAGAUUGUCUCUGUUUAAUCCUUCAAUAGCACAAGUCCAAGAUUUCCUUGAAAAGAGACCUCCAAGGUAAGAAACUGUAUUCAGUAGUGAGAAAUUUAUGCUAGAAUUGCUACAGUUCUUUUGACAGUUAAUGAGGCCUAUAUACAUCAUCUACUAUUUUUAACAAUUCAAUGUAAGCUCCAUAUGCUUUGGACAUCAUCACGUGUGGAGAAGUGAAAUACAGACAUAAACCUCCAAAAAAAAGACACUCUGCUUGUUUUAUCUCUCAAUCUUGUGCACAGUCAAUCAGUUUUUAUCAUUAUUGCAGUGCAAUUUUCAAAACUAAAAUGGUGAAAUUUAGUUGUGAAUGACUUGACUACAACCAUGUAAAGUUGCACCUUGUAGUUGUUUCAAUUUGGAUUACGAUUAUGAGUUACACAUAUCUUUGGCAUGCAAAAUUUGCAUUUUAACAAGAUCUAGUAUUAGGAUGUCCAUAUCAGACCUUUCAGAAUGCCUGCCAUCUUGAAGGUGUGCUCUUCUGAUUGCACACAAAACCCUGAUUCAAGUGAAAUAAUUAAGAAACAAUUAGUUUUAUGCAACUACUCUAUUUGGACAAUGCAUGAUCAUAUUUUACUGUCUUUUGAGUGUUUGCAUCUGACGUUGCUUUGUAUAUAAUAUACAGUAUGUAUUGUUAUAUAGCAUGGAACUUUACACGAAACUAAACCAUUUAGUGUUUUUCAAGCCAUAGUUGAUCUGUAUUUUCCAAGUAAUGAAAAUGUCUGGGUUAAUUGAUUUACUUGGUUUGCAAAAUUUCUCAUGGGAUUAAUGAGUUAGUCAAGAAGAUGAAGGCUAGAAACACUGAUGUUUAUCUGAUCUCUGGAGGAUUUCGCCAAAUGAUCAAUGUAUAUGUGUUGACCUUGGUUGAUCAGUCCUUGGUUUUGAUGAUUAACAAACCAAAAUGUAGAUUUGGGCUAAUGUUUUUAUGUGAGCAAUUUGUUAGAACAGAUUCUUGUGGCACAAAAGAAGAAGCAAAAACAGGGCACUCAUGUGGGACGUCCGAAAGGAAGCUAUCGGACGUCCGAAAGGAUGAAGAACCACGCAUCGGACGCACAUCGAUCGCAUCGGACGUCCGAGAAAUUUCGCAAAGAUUUGAUGACUCUCUGACGACGUUCGGACGCAGGGUUCGGACGUCCGACAGGUGGUUUGGACGCAGGGUUCGGACAUCCGACAGGCCAACGGCUAGUUUUGACAGCAUUUAAUAUUUGACCGUUGGAGAGCCUUUUGGAGCCAUUUCUCACCUUCUAUAAACACCCCAAAGCACAAGAAGACACAAGACUUUUGCCAACACAAAAUACAAGCUUACAAGUGAGAUUUUUGAGUAGAAAGAUUCUUUGUUGGUUGUAUAAGGGGUUGGGGAAGUUGGGUUGUGAGGUUGCUCAAGUGAAGGUUACUCUCUAGGAGGAGUAAAACCUUGGUGAAGGUGAACCUAUCACUUGAAGUGGUAAAACCUUGGUGAAGGUUGCCUCAUUUGUAUAAAAUAGUUCUAAAUUGGGUGUGUGAUCUUUCAAGUGUAGGUUGUUGAGGGUUAACUAGAAUAGUUGUAAAACUCCUUGGCUCAACCAAAGUGUGUUUGGGGUGAGGAAGGAGUGAGCCUUCACUUGUACAUCUUGGUUAGCAUCGCCAUCAAUUGAAGAGGCUAUUGGUUUGAUAUUUGGUUUGCAUUUCUUAUCUUUUCUCUUUAAUUAAGUUUUCUUUAUUGUGCUUAAAUUUGAUAUAUCUUUGUGCAUCAUUGUGAAUUUGUUUGUACUCAUUGGGUUGCACCGGGCACUUACAAUUGGUAUCAGAGCUUGGUCUCCUUGAGACUAAGCUCAAUCGGCUUGGAGUAAAGAUCAUGGCAACCAUAAAAGUUUCCUUUUUAGAAGGGCAAUCUAUUGAUAGACCACCUAUGUUUAAUGGUUCUCAUUUUAGCAUGUGGAAACAAAGAAUGAUGAUUUUCUUACAAUCCGUUUAUAUUGAAUUAUGGUAUGUGGUAGAAGAUGGUCCUUAUGAAGCUAGAAUAGUUGACUCUACCGCCAAUUUGAGUAGAUUAAAGACUAGACAAGAAUUGAAUGAAAAAGACAAGAGAUACCUUUCUUUGAAUGCCAAGGCCAUGUGUAUAUUGUACAAUGCAUUAGAUGUAAAUGAAUCUAGUAGGAUUAAAGGUUGUAAAUCAGCUAAAGAUAUUUGGGAUAAAUUGUGUGUAUUUCAUGAAGGUAACCAAGAUAUUAAAGAACAAAAGAAAUCUUUACUUGUUUCUCAAUAUGAAUUUUUCAAAAUGCAUCCUCUUGAAAAUGUUGAUAAGAUGUGUAGUAGAUUUUGUGACAUUAUUGAAGAUCUUAAAUUGCUUGGAAAAGAAUAUUCUUUGGGUGAGAAAAAUAGAAAGAUUUUGAAUGCCUUGCCAAAAGAAUGGGAAAACAAAAUAAAUGCUAUAGAAGAGGCAAAGGAUUUAAAUUUUAUGUCCAUUGAAUCUCUUGUGGAUACCCUAACCUCUUAUGAAUUAAAGCUGAAAUUCAAAGUGCAAGAGGAAGAAAAUGCAAGAAUGUAUAAGAGAGGCAUAGCUUUUAAAGCAUCUCAAGUGGGGGAUAACCCAUCCUUCAUGGGUAAUGAAAUCAUGAAAAUGGACAAUGAUAUAACUCCUCACAUCAAAAGUUUCAAGAAGAUUUUCAACAAGAGAUGUUCAAGAGGAGAUUGCAAAAUUACAUGGGAUGAAUGCAAUUCAAAAAGAGAAAAAGAAGAGUUGGCCCAAAUGGCACUAAUGGCCGUUGGAGAAGAUGAGGUAAGUUCUUAUCACUCUUCUUGUGAUGAAGAUAAUGAAAAUGAUGAUGUGAAAAUUCUUAUGAUUAAAAUGCAUAAAAGUUUGAGAAAAUCUUAUGCUAAAAAUAAAGAUUUGAAAACAAAAAUAAAUGAUUUGUUGGAAGAAAACUCCAAACUUUUUCAAGAAAACAAAUGUUUGAGAAUGGAAAAUGAUGAUUUAAAAAAUCAAAAAAGUGUUUUUGAUUGCAAAAAUAAUUUGAAAAGGAAGUUGGAAGAGAAAACAAAGUUUUAUGAAAAAAUGUUGGAGGACCAAAAUGUGUUAAAGAAAAGAAUUAAUGACUUGAACGAGUUUCUCCAAAAUGAAAAACAAACGUUUUCUCAAACAAAAGAAAGCAAAUCUUUUCAAGGUACAAAUAAGUUUGCUAUGAUAAGAAGUAAGAAAAUUAGUUGCAUUAAAUCCACCUAUGUGCAAAAUACUUCUAUCAUGUGUCACUUUUGUUGCCAAUUUGGACAUAUGCAAAAUGAUUGUUAUGUAAAGAAAAAUAUGAGAAAAGGUAUGAAAUCCAUGUGGAUUGCUAGAUCAUGUUGUACUAACUCCCAAGAACCCUAUAAAAAAUUACAAUUGGUAUCAUGAAAGUUUUGUCAUUCUAUAUGGUCUUGAUUUGGAAAAUAAAGGGGGAGUUUGCUUUUUGAUUGAUGUCAAAAGGGGGAGUAGGAUUAAUUGAAAUUUCUUUGUAUGUUGGCAUUUUCUAAGGGGGAGUUUUAUUUGAACUUAUUUGAUCAAAGAAAUCUUCAUUUUGUUUGUCAUCAUCAAAAAGGGGGAGAUUGUUGACCUUGGUCGAUCAAUCCUUGGUUUUGAUGAUUAACAAACUAAAAUGUAGAUUUGGGCUAAUGUUUUUAUGUGAGCAAUUUGUUAGAACAGAUUCUUGUGGCACAAAAGAAGAAGCAAAAACAGGGCACUCAUGUGGGACGUUCGAAAGGAAGCUAUCGGACGUCCGAAAGGAUGAAGAACCACGCAUCGGACGCACAUCGAUCGCAUCGGACGUCCGAGAAAUUUCGCAAAGAUUUGAUGACUCUCUGACGACGUUCGGACGCAGGGUUCGGACGUCCGACAGGUGGUUUGGACGCAGGGUUCGGACGUCCGACAGGUGGUUCGGACGUCCGACAGGCCAACGGCUAGUUUUGACAGCAUUUAAUAUUUGACCAUUAGAGAGCCUUUUGAAGCCAUUUCUCACCUUCUAUAAAUACCCCAAAGCACAAGAAGACAAAAGACUUUUGCCAACACAAAAUACAAGCUUACAAGUGAGAUUUUUGAGUAGAAAGAUUCUUUGUUGGUUGUAUAAGGGGUUGGGAAAGUUGGGUUGUGAGGUUGCUCAAGUGAAGGUUACUCUCUAGGUGGAGUAAAACCUUGGUGAAGGUGAACCUAUCACUUGAAGUGGUAAAACCUUGGUGAAGGUUGCCUCAUUUGUAUAAAAUAGUUCUAAAUUGGGUGUGUGAUCUUUCAAGUGUAGGUUGUUGAGGGUUAACUAGAAUAGUUGUAAAACUCCUUGGGUCAACCAAAGUGUGUUUGGGGUGAGGAAGGAGUGAGCCUUCACUUGUACAUCUUGGUUAGCAUCGCCAUCAAUUGAAGAGGCUAUUGGUUUGAUAUUUGGUUUGCAUUUCUUAUCUUUUCUCUUUAAUUAAGUUUUCUUUAUUGUGCUUAAAUUUGAUAUAUCUUUGUGCAUCAUUGUGAAUUUGUUUGUACUCAUUGGGUUGCACCGGGCACUUACAAUAUGCUUCUCUCUGAGUGGCUUUUGAUAUAUCUUUUCUUCUUCAUAUCCAGAUAACAAUUGAGGCUGGGAGUCCUUGGAUCAAUUUGCCAUUGUGUCAAGAUGCCCAUUAGCAUACUAUAGUCAUUAUUGAUGUUGGUUGAAAUAUUCUCUGAAUUGAUGGUUUAAAUAUUGGCUAAAAAAUUGAGGUUCAGUAACCUGAUUUUUAUGCUGCACUGCUUCCAAGUUGAUACUUUUCCUGCAUCAAUAUUACCUGUUUUAACAGUUCCUUGCUUUGAAUCCCUAAAAGAAUCACACAUGUUUCAUAUGGAAGCAUACUUUGUGCUUGAAACUGUGUCAAAGUUCUAACUACUACAGUUUAACAGCCUGUUGCAUCAAUUCUUGGUAUUCCCGUUGACCACAUUUUUGCCAAUCAACUUCUUUUCGGAAGUGCUGGAGAGUUUUUGGGGUUUGAUACAGAUGAGCCAACGUCUAGGAGUGGAGGAAAAGCUAUUGCUGUUCAGCAGAUAAGGAAGGUAAGUUGAACUCUUAGUAGUUGUUUGUUGUGUAUUGGUUUUUAGAAUAUUGACCAAAUACUUGAUAAUGUUAUCAGGCUAAUGGAUAUAAAUCGCUGGUCAUGAUUAGAGAUGGUGCAACUGAUCUUGUGGUAAAAAAGUGUUCAUCUUGUCUAGUUUGGUGACCACUUCAUCUACGGAAUACAACCAACCCAAGGAAAAAAAAUCAAGAAGUAAAUCCCAACGAGAGCUUUUUCUACUACAUGUUAACUUGAGUUUAACAUGGUCCAAUAUCUAGAAUCUAAUAACUGACUUAUCUAAAGUUUACAUACAGUAAUAGCAGGACAUAAAGAUUUAGACCUCAAACUUGGUAAAUCCAUGGAGGAAUUGAUUCCAUACAUUGACUUUAAUUGCUUCAAAGUAGACUAUAGUGGCUAUCUUAAAACCUGUUCAAGCUUCAUACAUUAUUAAUAUCAUUCUAAGUUUUGGCCCAAAAAUGCUUCUAAAUUGAAUAAAUGAAGAGCUUUUACUCUCAUGUUGCUCGCAGAAUUUAUACUCUUUCUACUUGUAGGCUCGCAAACCAGGAGGUGCCGACUUAUUCAUAUGCUAUGCUAGGGUUCAGCUUCGAGAAACUGUUGCAGCUAAAGCUGAUUGGCUGGUGUUCAAUUUUAAGGACUUGAUUGAUAGCUUGGAGUAGCAUGCACCCAUUUUUCUUGAUUGAUACCUUUUUUCUGUUUCCUUUUGGGUGGUGGUUCUCUUUCUUUACCUUUACUAUUAUUGAUUUUUUGGGGGUACUAGAGUUCUAUGGGUUAUAACUACCAUGCUUCCAAAAAUCUUCUGCAUCAGUUUAUGUAUUCUUUGACUAACAUUUUAUGUAUGUAAUUUGUGAAAAUGACAGUCCUCAGGCACUUGCCUUCAAUAAGCAACUUGAAAGCCUUGUUGAUGUCACCAAGUUUGACCUCAUGAGUGACAAACAAAUCCAGCCGAAGUUCACGGAUGUGUGUUCAAGGAUUUAAGCAAAAUCUGGGAGAGAUUCAUGUCUUUGAUGCUUGUCAUUUUGGAACAGGUGAAAAACAACAAUGUGGUAAAAGCCUUGCAAAUCUACAGUACAUUAUCCAGGUAACGUUUUGGAAGCAUUGGGAAUCAAGAUUAGGCUUGAGACCACCCUAUUGGACUCCUGUGACGGUUUUCCCGCUAUGAGCGAUCACCAGGUAAUUGAGGAUCAGCUGCGAAUCAGGCUUCACUCUUAAUACAACCGUCUUGCCCAUUCCUGAUGAUAGAUUGUACAUAGAAUCUCAUUUAGUAGCAGCUAACAGCAAUGAAAUAACUGAAAAACUCGAACUAGCUUAGUACUGGUAGUCAAAUCACAAAUGUUUAAACCAUGAAAGCAUACUCUUUAAUCGCAAAAGAUAGUGGACCUAUGUUAGCUGAUUAAGAAUACUGUUAUAGUACUUAAAUCAUCAAAUCAUUAUAUUACCAUAUUCUCUCCUUCUUUAAUUCUAAUAUAAAUCUUCCAAGUGUUACUUUGGCUGAUAGAUCAAGUGCCUUGAUUGUGGUUUCUGGUGUAACUAUUCCUACAACCUCUAUCUCUUUAUCCCUGGUCUUACACUUGCCUAAUUAUUCUUUUAAUCAACUCUUAGUUAAAAUUACAAGAGCUCUUAAGUGCUUUGUCUCAUCCUUCUCUGAAUAUUGUAUUUUUUAGGAUCGGAAAGCUUUGGUAGAAUAUGUGAGUUUGGUAGACUUUAUACACUUGAAACUUUGAAAAUGCCAAAACCUGUUACAUGUUUGUUCAUCAUGACACCUCUUGAAGUUUAUUGUCAUUUGGGUGAUCUAUCUCUACCAAAUUUGAAGAAAUUGUUUUCAAAUUUUCAAGAUUUAUAGAGUGAGAUACGUCAAUUUGUGAAGCAUCUCUGUUUGCCUUAUUUGCCUAGGGUCAAUAAAUAGGCUGCAUACCCUUUUGAAUUAGUGAACUCUAAUAUUGGGGAUGAUUGUUCAAUAAUAUCUAACUCUAAUUUUAAAUAUUUUGUCACUUUUAUUGAUAAUUACUCUAGUAUUACUUGAUUAUAUGUCAUGAAAAUUCAUUUAGAUUUAUCCAAUGUUUGUUGUUCCGUACUGAUAUAAAAACACAAUUUAAUAUGUCUAUGAGCAUUUAGCAAGGUGAUAAUAAAAGAAUACUUUUAUAAGCUUUUUAACCUAUAUACGUAAAAAAAUGGAAUUCUGAACCAAUAUUCAUGUCCUGAUAUAACACCAUAAGAUGGUGUUAUUAAAAAUAAAUAGGCAAUUACUAAAAGUUGCUAGAGCCAAGUUAUUUCACCUAAGCGUUCCUAACUAGAUUUGGGCAGAUGCUAUUUGACCAACUUGCUUUUUAAUUAAUUUCAUGAAUCUGUACUUGCUAGUGAGAUAUCGUAUUCAGUUUUGCUUCCACCUAAACGUUCCUAACUAGAUUUGGGCAUAUGCUAUUUCACCAACUUACUUUUUAAUUAAUUUCAUGAAUCUGUACUUGUUAUUGAGAGAUAUCGUAUUCAGUUUUGCUUCGAACAUAAUCUUUGUUCCCUUCUGAGUCGUGUAUAUUUUGAUGUCCUUGUUUUGUUCAUGACAUCCAUCCCAAGCGUCUAAAUUAAUUGAAUGUACUACUUGUUUUGUUCAUGACAUCCGUCCCCACAGGCGUCUUAAUUAAAUCCAAAUUCUCUAGUAUUCUUAUACUAGUGUGAAUAACCAUGCUACCAUGGUGCUGAUUAGGGGUGGAAACGAACUGAAUCGAAUUGAGUUUUGGCCUAAUUGAGUUGAAUCUGAACCUAGGUUUAUGAAGCUCAAACUCAAGUUCGACCUUGACGAGCUCAAAAUGUAAAACUUGAGCUCGAACUCGACUCGAAUUGAGUUCGAGCUUGAGCUUAAAAAAUAAAAAAAAAUUUAUUUUAUUUUUAAAAAAUAAAUAAAAUAAUAAUUUUUCUUAACAAAUAAUAAAAUAUUAGGAAUAUAUAUGUAAUUUUACUAUUAAAAUAAUAUAUAUAAAUAUAUAUAUAUAUAUAGUCGAGCUUGAGUCGACUUGUGAGUUAACGAAUUUAGUAUUUUUAAAUUCGAGUUCAAAUUUGACUUGGUCAACUCGAACUCGACUCAAGCUCGAAUUUGAAUCACUCGUGAUCGAUUUGAUUCGUUUUGCAGCUCUAGUGCUAACGUUAUUGAAAGAAAUAAAAAGAGAGGGUGGAUUAAAAAAAAGUACAAUUAAUCAAAAUCUAAGAUUUGUCUAACAUUAGUUUAAAGUAUGAUAAAAUGUAUAUAUCAUUCAAGAACUGUAUUUGCGAAAGAUGGAUCUUGAAAUAAUAAUAGAAAAUAAACGAUAUAUGGAUAGAAAUGAAUGUAAUCCCAUGUUUUAUUGAUUUCAAAAUGAAAUACUUAUAAACAUUAUGCAUUCGAUUUGAUAAUCUUGUAUAAAAGUGUAAACAUUUUUCACACCAAUCAACUUUUAGUUUGAAGUCCAACAUUGAUGGUUUAAUUGACACUGUUGAAAUUUUGUGGAGUUCAUACUACAAAAUAAUGUUCAUUGUGACUUGUUUUUUUUUUUUUGAAGUGAACUUGCUAAACCUUUUGAAGUAUUUCAGUGGGAUCACUAUGGUGUAUACUUCGUUUUGUAAUCAGUUGUUUUCCCCUUUGUAAUCUUGCAAGUUUGGAGUGCCGUUGAAAUUCUUGUAGAUGGAAUUCAUCAAUGGUGAAAGUAAGAUACAUAGUCUUUUUUUUUUGUUCUCAAUGUAUUUAGUUUGUGUAGAUGACAAAUAAAAAUGGGUUAGUGGUCGUCAGUCUUGUGAAUAAUUAUGAGAAUAAAUUACGUUAUGAUAAUAAGAUGCGUAAAAUUAUGAAAAUUAUAGGGAUUGUAAUUCAAACGGGCUCCUAAAUUUUGGAUAUAUGAUUUUCAUAGUGGUGAGUUUUUUAAAUUAUCAAUUAGCUAUUAUUAUUAGUCGUGUGUGUGGUGUCAGAUGUGAUUUGGAAUUUGAAGAUGUGAUUUUACAGGGUGAUUAUUAUCCGUUAAUUUGCGUGGGUGAUUAUUAUCCUUUAUCUAAAAUUUAGGAGUUUUGAUUUUGUGGGUUAGUGGAUCAUUAGUUAAUUAAAAUUUUGGAGUUUUAAUUUUGUGGAUUAAUGGGUCGCGUGAAUUGGAAAGUGAGAAGUGAUAAGGAGAAGCAAUAAGGAUUAUUGAAUCAAAAUAAAUCUAAAAUUAUAGUAAAAAGGGAAUUCAAAUUUUUGACGCUUGUGGAGGCUCCUCGUAAAAAACCUGCUUUCUAAUACAUAUAAACUAGUGUGAUUAUCCAUACUACGCACGGUGCUGACAUUAUUGAAAGAAAUUGAAAGAGAGGGUGAAUUAAAAAAAGUAAAAAAAUUCUAACAACAUAAUCAAAAUCUAAGAUUUGUAUAACAAUAGUUCAAAAUAUGAUAAAAUGUGUACAUCAUUUAAGAACUGCAUUUUGUAGAAGAUAGAUCUUGAAAUAAUAAUGGAAAAUUAUAUUAUAAAUUGAAUGUAUAUGGAUAGAAAUAAAUGUAGUCGUAUGUUUUAUUUGAUUUCAAAAUAAAAUAUUUAUAAACGUCAUGCAUUCGAUUUAUUAAUCUUAUACGAAGGUGCGAAUAUUUUUCACACCAAUCAACCUUUAGUACGAAAUUCAAUAUUGGUGGUUUAAUUGACACUGUUGAAUUUUUGUGGAAUUCAUACUACAAAAGAAUGUUCAAUGAGAUUUGUUUUUUUUGGAAAUGAACUUGCUGAACCUAAUUUUGAAAUAUUUCAGUGAGGUUACUAUAAUGUAGGUUUUGUUUUAUGAUUAGCUGUUUUCUCCUUUGCCUUGCAAAUUUGAAAUUGAGGCACAGUUGAAAUGCUUGUAAGUAGGAUGAUACGUAGUCUUUUUUCUUUUCUCUCACUAUAUUUGGUUUGUGUGGAUGACAAAUGAAAAUGGAUUAAUAUUGGUAAUUUAAUUGACUAUGUUGAAUUUUGUGAAAAUCAUACUACAAAAGAAUGUUUAGUCAGAUUUGUUUUUCUGAUGCAUGUGGAGGCUCCUUGUAAGAAACCUGCCUUCAAAUAUAUAUAUAUAUAUAGAUAAGGGCUUUCGGGUUACUCGCGCACGCUCCGCUUGCUAGUGCUAGACCGACCCAAAAGCGGAGAUCGCCGAGGACGCCUCAUCAUUUAUUUCUUCAUUUUUUCUGGUCAGAAAAAACCCAAUUGAAUCCCUAGACUUAUUAUUCCUUGAAUUCUCAGAACCGGAGAUCGCCGAGGAAGCCUCAUUAUUUAUCUUCUUCAUUUUUUUCUGGUCAGAAAAUUCCCAAUUGAUGCCCCCAGACUAUUAUUCUUUGAAUUCUAUUUUUUUUUCAAUUUUUAGAUUUAUCAUAUUCAUCUCUUUUCCCCAACAGCCAUCAAUUCGACCUGGUCCAUUCUUUUUCCCACCCAAUCUUUUAGCCAUUUAAACUCUAAAGACUUUUUCCCAAAAAUUCUCUCUUAGCUUCAGAUUUUUAGAAACCCGGCUCCCAUCCAAAAAACAAGAGACAAAACCGAAAGAAAAAUUUCACCCGGAUCAUUAGCCAUUUAAACUGUCAAAACAUUUUCCUAAAAAUUCUCUCUUAACUUCACAGAUUUUUAGAAACCGGAUCC
This 74508-nucleotide long non-coding RNA is filed under the name Coffea arabica (coffee). Its description in RNAcentral is "long non-coding RNA (CARA_LNC006612)". The stretch from base 59385 to 59491 matches the Rfam family "Plant small nucleolar RNA R71". The record is from RNAcentral. Lineage: Eukaryota; Viridiplantae; Streptophyta; Magnoliopsida; Gentianales; Rubiaceae.